This 44547-nucleotide long non-coding RNA is filed under the name Vitis vinifera (wine grape). RNAcentral describes it as "long non-coding RNA (VVIN_LNC001392)". Lineage: Eukaryota; Viridiplantae; Streptophyta; Magnoliopsida; Vitales; Vitaceae. The record is from RNAcentral.
AGUGUGUGGAUGGGUACUGAUGAAGUGUGCGCAUUUAUUUUGAGAAGCCUGCUUGUUCGCAUAGAUUUUAACGACAUGAACAUUGUGGUAAGGUUAGAGAGUAAUGCGAAUGUAGGAGCUUAUAUUAGAAAUGACACAAACACGUAAAUAGAAGUAAUCUAUAUAUGAUAUUACUCAUGGACUACAAGCAAAGAAGUACAAUACAUGGAGUAAGUGAUGAAAUGAGCAUUCCUCACUACUACUGCUUGACUGAUGGAACAUGAUGCACGAGAUAGCAUAAGUAGUAGUAGGAAGCAGCUCUUAUUUGUGGCGUCGGUAUACAUCAUACUAGGUAGAUGGUUCAAUUGGCAUGGAUGGGUGGUGGAGCCUUGAAGUGCUUGUGAUGGGGAGCCCACGGCUUCUUCUCAGGAGUUGGUGGCUUCUUGUAUGGAGUUGAUGGAGGUGUUUCUACUGGAGGGUGGCCAGGGUAGUGACCCUGGGGUGGUGAAGGUUCUUUUGUCGGUGGUGGCCUCACUAUUAUUGGCGGUAGAGUUGGUGGCUUGGGCGUUGGCGGUGGUCUCACUACUCUUGGGGGUAGAGUUGGUGUCUUGUGUUUUGGUGGUGGAGGUGGCUUAACAGGAGUUGGUGGCUUGUAUUCUGGGGGUGGUUUCUCCACCGGAGGUGGCUUAUAAACUGGAGUUGGUGGCUUGUAUUCUGGGGGUGGCUUCUCCACUGGUGGUGGCCUGUAAACAGGGGUUGGUGGCUUAUAUUCUGGGGGAGGCUUCUCCACUGGAGGCGACUUAUAAACAGGGGUUGGUGGCUUGUAUUCCGGGGGUGGCUUCUCUACGGGAGGUGGCCUGUAAACAGGGGUUGGUGGCUUCUCCACCGGAGGUGGCUUAUAAACGGGGGUUGGUGGCUUGUAUUCUGGGGGUGGUUUCCCCAGUGGUGGAGACUUGUAAACAGGAAGAGGUGGUUUGUGCUCAUAUGGGGGUGGCUUGUGGUCAUUAGCAAGUGAGGGAGUGGUGAGGACCACCAAUCCAAGGAACAACACGAGUGAGCAAGCAGAAGACAUGUUUGGGCUCUGGUGAUGCACAAGUAGAAGAAAUGGGAACCAUUUAUAAUGCUUCGAGACCUUGGUUAGCACCAAAAUAUGUCAAAAUCUUGAUUACUUCAUUUCAUACAUAGAUUUAAAAUUAUUUCAAUCAACCAUGAUCCUUAAUUUUCUGGGUGGUCCAUAAAUGUAAUGGGGUCAAUUUGGGACCUAACAAGCUGAGAAGUUUGACAAUGCUGCAAGGCUUCAUCCGAAAGUCCGGGGAAGAAUAUUAGGAGUUACACUCCGUUUCCUUUUUUGGGUGCAUUUUUCUCCUUUAACAUUCUAUUCCCUUUUACAUUAGCAUUUGAUCUUAGCUCAUUUCAAGUACAAGUUUCUUGAACCCUAUACCAUUGUCAAAGUUGAGUAACCAUCUCUACUUUGCUCAAGAAACAUAAAAGACAAUGACAAUAAAGAAAAAGGAGAGAGACCAUACGUGACUUGGUUUAUAGGUGGCUUUGUGUUGACAUUUGAGUAUGGAAGCCGACAUGCAUCUUAGCUUCGAUUUUAAUUAAAUUUGUACAUUAGUGUCUGUGUCAUUCAUUUUGGUAUAAAAGGUCUCUUGAUUUCGUAAGUUUGGUAAGAACCGUUGAAAAUAGCAGUAGCAGCACAUGGUCCACUUUCUUUCACAAAAUAAUUUUAAAAGUUUAGAAGCAUAGGAGGUAACAUUAGUGGCCUUGUGGCUCAGCCACGAGUACUAUGUGGUGCUCGAGAAAUUGAGUUUAAUUUCCUUCCGAUAGUUCAUGAUAAGGUCCGUCACUGUCCUGAGACAGAUUGCGUUUUUUCUUUUUUCCUUUUUUAGUGUUUUAUUGACUAGCUAGGUGUGACUUUUCCUACUUUAAGGCACGAGGCAGAAAAGAAACUGGGAUUUAGUGCUUAAGAAGGCAAAUUUAAUUCGAUUUGGAUCUAAAAUUUGCCAGCAACAUGAGAUUUUCCAGCCUAUCGUUGCUCCACAUAUAGACAAGGCACUUGUAGAAGUGGCUUGUUUGUAGCCAUUCCCGAUAUUUGGACUCACUUGAUUCACCGGACACUUUGAUAAAAUUUAAUAUUUAUUAUUUAAUAAUUUAAAUUGAUUUAAAAUUAAAUUAUACCGAAGUUGUGAUUUAAAAAUUAUUAUUUAAUUCUUACUUUUAAAUAUGAAGAUUAUUUGAUAAAAAUAAUUUAAAAUUUAUUAUAAAUUAUCAAAUUAACAUAUUUAUCCUUAUAAAUUAUAAUUAAAACAGAAAAGGUCAAAUGAUUUGAGUAUCCAUAGAUGUGGUAAAAUAAUAAAAAAGAUUAUAAAAACAAUUAUGAUAAAUAAAGAUAAAAAGUAAAAUGAAUAUGUGAAUUUAAAGAAUAAAUUAAUUAUUUUUAUUUAUUACUUAAAAUUAUUUUUGACUUUAAAUUAUAUUAUUAAAUUAUUUUACCAAACAUACUUAAUUUAGUUAAUAAUUUAAAUUUAAUUUAAGUUAUUAAAUUGAUUCACCAAAUACCCACUUAAUCAAAGACUGAAGUAUACAUUAUUUGGCCAAAUGCAGCUAUUGAAAUUUAACUUUUUCCAAACUUAUUCAUUUUGUGGAAAUAUUUUUAGAAAUGAUUUUAAAAAUGCACUAUUCUGUGUGUUGAUUUUAUAUUUUGGCAUUAAUCCAACAUAGAAAACGGUUCUUAUUUUCGCUGUUAAAUAGGUACCAGAUCCUUAAUUAGUGCCGUGAAUCCGGCAGCUUCCAAUGAGUAAUUUGGACUUGGGUAUUGACAAUGUGUGGCCAUGCUUCUACUAUUUUAUUAUUCUUGAAACAUAUAUGAUAUAUUGGACUUUAUACAGGGAAAAAAAAAAAAAAAAGUCUUCACCAAAAAUGAUUCCUCCUAAAAAAUAGACUCCACAAACUAGGUUUAACAGGAAAAUGAUUCUAAUCUAGUAGUUUCCAGCCACAUGAGCAUUUACGUAACAAUAGUAUAGUUGAUAACGACUUUUAUUUUAUUUAUUUUUAAAUAGUUAAAGGGAUAAUUUUUGAGCUUAAAUUUUAUUUUUUUAUUUAGAAACAUUUUACUUUAUUUUUUAAUCAUAAUUCUAUUAUAUUAAUGUUUUAUUUUCUAUUUUUUAAUAUAUAAGGAGAUACUAAAUUUAUGUGAUUAUUUUUUAAAAAUUUAGUAUAUGAAAUUAAAUAAUUGGAUAUAUAUACAUAUAUCAUAUAAUGUUUUUUAAGUGUGAUUUUUGAACUUUUUAGUCAUUUUAUAAGUUUAAGCUUUUGAUUUUUUUUUUUAAACUUUGGUAUUUUUUAUUUUAUAUAAAACUAUUUUGAUUUAAUUUUAUUAAAAAAUAUUGGUAUUAUAAAUUAUUGUAUUAAUUAUUUUUUUAUAUUAUAAUGUAACUGGUAUAUACUAAAAAAUGUAUGCAAGUUCAAUUUAAGUUUCAAAUUAAAAAAUUUCAUUUAAAUAUUUAAUAACUUGUUCAUAAUAAAAAAUUAAACAACAUAAUACAAAUGAAAAGAAACAUAAAAGAAAAAGGAAAAAAUGGUCCUCUCUGUGUGUCACAUUACUAGGUCAUCCUCUUUUUCUAUGACCCUUACAAUAGAAUGGCAUAUUUGUCAAAUCUACUUAUGAAAGUUGGAAUGUUUCUACAUGUGUAGGGUCCAUUGGAACUAAUGGAGGAAAGGCUUAACGUCUAUGUAAAUCACAACGUUGCCUAGGUGGGCAUAGAUCUAGUUGUGUAACAUGAGAUGGUGUGAGAGUACAAUAUAUGCAUUGUAGUCUCUAUGGGAAGAGAGAUAGGUAAUGGUAGGGUGGUAGACGGUAGGGUGAUCUCUAAUAUAAUGACAUUUGAUGUGGUGGCUUCUAAGAGAGGAGAUAUAAGAGAUGGUAGAAUGACAUUUGGUGUAAUGGUCUCUAGUGCAAUGACAUGUGAUAUGGUGACCUAUAAAGAAGAGAUAUAGGUGAUGGUGAAGUGGUAUGUGGUGUAGUGACCUUUGAGAUAGAAAAUAGAGGUAAUGGUAGGUUGGCAGGUGGAGUGGUCUUUGGUGUAGUGACAUCAAUUAUAAAUGUCUCCAAGGGAGGAAAUAAAGGUGAUGGUAGGUAGUAAAUGUUGAGGUGGUCUUUGAUAUGUUAUGCUCUAAGAGAGAAGGUAUAGGUAAUGAUAAUAGGGAAUUUGACAUAGUGGUGUUGGAAAUAAAAAGUGAAAGUGACCGUAGAGGUGAAAGGGCAAGUGUAAAAGCCUCAAGUACGAAUGGAGUAAUUAAUGUGGAUGGUGCUAACAUAGUCUUAGGUGGAUACACAAAUAGUCAUAGUCAUCAACUAGCUUGCCCACCAUCUGUCUUUCUGCUAGUGAUAGGUUACAUCUUAAUAGUAAUGGCCAACAUAAGUGGUGUGGAUCCGAUUUUUUUACGUGUGUCCCCACUCAAUCGACAAGACUUAUUUUUUAUUAGUGAAAAAUUAAUUUUGGAAAAGUUGGAGUCACCACUUAUUUUAUUUUAUUUUAAAAAGGAAAGUAAAACAAGAAAGAGAACUCUAAAGAAGUGACUUCAUAGUUUUGGAAAAGUUAGUCUUAAAAAAUCCAAGUCUUGGUCCGGAGAUCAGGUUACUUAUUGGGAAGAUACCUCUAAGAGGUAAUACCCCUCUAAACCCUAAAGAAGUCUCUAAUGACUAAGUUGAGGAGAAUGUGGUAAUUAAUUAAUUGAUUGAGGGUACCUAGGUAGACUAAGGUGAUUUCAGAAUUAACAUACCAAGCUAGAAAGUCCAAUCAUGAUCAUAAAAGAGAGUCAAAGUAUGUACCUGAACUGCUUCUCAAACGCUAUCAUAAAACAUCAAAGUUAGUAUAGAAAUAUAACACAUAAUAUUUGUUUUAUCCAAGCAAAUAAAGCAUACAUCUAAGCACCCAAGAAUCACAUCAAGUAUGGAUAUAGUCAUCAAUAGCAUACGUGUCCAUAGAACUAUCGAAAGUAAAUGUGGAGGAGCGUAUCUGGACAACAUAGAUAACUUAUAAUGUGCUUCCACAAGACAUGGGGGUUAGAUAAAAGUUAUAAUAAUAAUUAGUAAAUGAAAGAAUUCUAGCAUGUUUGGUAUCUAAAUAACAUAGCAAAAAUGAACAAGAGUACACGAAAACAUCAAUUAUCACACGAGUCAUAUUGGCUAGUAUUUAAUCAAUAAACCAACAAUAAAUGACUAUAAACAUAUAAAAUGACAUAUUCAAAGAGACCCAAACAUAAAGAGCCUAGAACACAAGCUUACACUAAAUUUAGAAAACUAAAACAUGGAAUUUUAAAAGCAUAAAUUAGCAAACAAAUUGAUGGAAACUAAAUUUAGAUAACUUAAGAAUAUUUUUCUUAUCCUUCAAUUUAAAUCAGUAAGCCAACAAUAAAAAAUUAUAGAAACAUGGAAUAUCAAGAUCAAUGGGAUACCUAAACUAUAAUUUUUAAAAGAAAAUAAACUAAGCAUAAUAUCUACAAAGCAACUAAACUAACAUUUUUUUAAAAAUAAAUUAAACAUGACAUUAAUGGAGUAACCAAACUAAAUUAAAGUAAACUAAAAACAUUUAUGAAUUUUCAAACAUGGAAUCAGCUUUCUUAGUAAAUUAAAAUUAUUAAAAUAAAAUCUAAGCUUAAAAAUGAAUUAAAUACUAACUAAAGCAAAUCUAAAACCAAAUAUUUAACACAUAGGAUCAAUUAUAUUAACAAACUAAAAUUUUAUAAGAACACUUAAACCUAAAGUUGAAUUAAAAACUAACCAAUUUUUAAAACUAGAUCUUUAACCCAUAGGAUCAAUUAUAUUAACAAAUAAAUAAUAAAUAAUAAAUAAAUAAAACUCAAACCUAAAGAUGAACUAGAAAUGUACCAAAGUAAAUUCAAAACAAGAUCUUUAACACAUUAGAUCAAUUAUAUUGACUAACUAAAAAAAAAAAAAAAAAACACUCAAACCUGAAACGAUGUAUUAGAAACUAACCAAAGCAAAUUUAAAAUAGAGUCUUUAACACAUAGGAUCAAUUAUAAUCACUAACUUAAAUUACAAUUUUUGAAACAUGAACUAAUUAGUGUUGGAUUAAUUAAACUAAUUAACUAAAAAAAACUAUAAACUAGAAUACGGUGAAUCAAGAAUUCAAAUCAACAAACAUAAAAUAUGGGUACAAUGAAAUGAAAAUCUAUUAAACUAAUAAGACGGAAAUAUGACAAACUCAUGAACCCACAUUUUGAUCAACUAGGAAAUAGAAAUUAAUAGACCUGUAGCAUGGAUACAAUGAAAUGAGAUCAGUUAAAUUUAUUUGCCGAAAUUCUAAAAAACACAUACACUCAAAUAAGAUCUAAAUCUAAGACCAAGCAAAACUCAAACUUUCUCAAUCUAAUGCAAUGAAUCAAAACUAAAAUUAAAUAGAAAUCAAACCAUUUUUUUUUUAUCUAAUAUAAUAAAUCAAAGCUAAAACUAAACAAAAUCGAAUUUUCUUAAUUUAAUAUGAUGAGUCAAAGCUAAAAUUGAACAAAGUUCAAACCUUUAUAUAAUGGAUCAAAGUUAAAUCUAAAUGAAAUCCAUACUUCCACAAUUUGAUAUAACAAAUCAAAAAUAAAACUAGAUAAAAAAAAAGUCAAAGCCUUUCAACUUGACAUAGUGAAUCCAAACUGAAACGAAACAAAAUUUUAACUUUUCCAAUGAAACCCAAUAUAGAAAAAAUUAGCUUACCUUCUUUAGAAUAUAUGUAUGGGCCAUAAAGAAGUCACCUUGGUGCAUGUGUUCCUCACUUUGACGCCAAUGGACGACUUUCUAUGGUAGCAAAUGGAGAUCCUUUUUGGUGGUAACUUGCGUGUGGAAACCUAUGGUACAACCAAUGUCAUCUUUUAUUGUGCGUGUGGACCAAUUUCUUCUCGAGAACUCAUGUGUGUUGUGCUCAAAAUAUGUUGCCUGUGAGAAUCUAUUGGUAUACCCCACAUAUGGUUUCCUUGAGAGAAUCUGUGGUUGUGUGUGGGCGUUUUCUUCAUGACAGCAUGUGGAUGUUCCCAUCUAUGGUAGAUUGGUUGUGAUGCUUUAGUGCAUGGUCUCCAUAGGAAUAGUGUGUUAUGGAAAUUUGGUUUUUUUAUUGGUGCAUGUUGUCUAGACUUUCCCAUAUGCGUGGACUGUGUGUUCAUGCUUUUCUUUUCGGAUGGUCGCCUGUGUUAAUGUGUGGCGGUGUCUACAAUGAAAGAUACAACCCUUUCUCUCCUUCUGCGUGAUAGAAAAGUCAAUCCCCCAUGGUGCGACUAUGUUCCCUCGUCCUUUUUGAAAAAUUUUGGUGUUUUCCCCCCAAAAAAUCCCCUCCAAAAAUCUAAUUAUAAAUGUCUGCUUUGGCCUAAUGUGUGUGCUACUUUUUUUUUCCUUCUUUUUAUGGUUGUGCGUGCUUUUCUUGAUACGUGGCUUAUUUCUUAAGGAUAUGAUUCGCUCCCAAUUGGUGUCUCAGCUGAUUCAUGUCCUUUCAAUGGUCCCUGACAGUGGUGCCAUUUGAUUCGUGUCCAGCUGGUGUCCCUUGAUUGUGGUCCUCAGAAGGGAGUAAUCAAUAAAAUUUAUAACCUAUUACACCAUGUAUUAGGAUAGCCUUAGCUAGCAUAGCAUAGUGGCUCUAGGGUCGUUUAUUGGGAUGAGUUUUCACUUCACAAUUGAUAUUAAUUCAAGAGCUGAAUUGGUGCCUUUUCAUUUCAAGGUUAGCUUUAAAAGAAAACAUAAUCUUUGGUGGAAAAAGGUUUGGUUUUAAACUAACCAAAAAUAGUAACUGAUUUUACUUACAAAGAAAAGUGUUCUUUGGAGUUUAGAUCACUAGGCUCAGGUUCCUCAUACAAAAAGGAGAGUUCCGAUCAUUUGUUUCUUUUCCUCGCAUUAGAGAAUUAACAUAUAGUUAAUUCUCUAACCGGUGCGGUACAUAUGCUUCCCAUUAAUGGGUUCAAACACUAAAUACCUCUCACUGAUGCACCUUGCAAUGGCUCGUGCCUCUCACCUAGCAUUUAUCAUUCAAGGUGAUCUUUAACCUUGGAUUACCCAUCAAAAGCUCGCAAGAGAUAACUAAAGGAUGUCUCCUUAGAGUCCAAAAGCUUACCAAGUGUUGGUUAUUCUAGAAAAUCCUACCUUCAAACCACCUCCCAAAGGCUCGCAAGAGAUAAACAAGUGCAUCUCAAUGGAUGAAGAUCACUUGCCUUACCAAGUUUUGGCCCAGAUGAUUUAAUGACAUUUUAAGUUAACUAAAAAGAUAAAAACCAUUAACGGGUCACACUUUCUCUUCAUUAAAAACUAAAACAACAAAACUUCCAAUUUAUGCAUGAGGAAACUUACCUGGCUUUCUUCACUUCAAGAGAUGAAGAGCCUAGCCACUCAUCAUUUGAGGAAAAAUCCUCAGAGUUUGAUUUGCUAGAAAUAAAAAUAAUGAGAAAACAAAAAUAUAUAUAUGAAAAACAGAGCAAGUUCUCUGUAAUAUAUUUUUCUUCCUUAUACAAAAGGUUGUCUCUAAGAACAAGUUCCCGAGAUCUAUCUGAUUGUAAAUAAAAUUACAACUAUAUAUAAGAGGUUAUUCACCCCUUUGUUCUUUCUUAAAGACUAAGGAAUCCUAUGAUAGGUGGGUUACAAGGAGAGUUUGGGGAUUUAGACAUCAAAUAUCUAAAGCAAAAUAUCUCAAGAUGUUAGUCGGAAAUAUCAGGAAGCUUCAGGAGAACACCGCGACACUGUAUACUGAGAGAAAAACUCUCCGGGUAAGCUCUAUCAAAGGAUCCAGACAUGUCUGACUGGGAAAGUUGAAACGUCCUUCUCUCCCAUCCGGAUGUGAGAUAUCCGGAGAAAGUGAAAUGUCGGUCGGACAGAAUUCUUUCCCCGGGUGGAAUGAGUUGUGUUGCGCGUCGCAAGGGGGACCGUCUGCGUGUACAAGUUGUAGGGACCCCUCUCCCGGAUGACACCGAGCGCGUAAGGCUAUCCGGAUCAACUCCAUUCGGAUUCCCCAAGAGGACAUGUGGCGUGCUCCCCUAUCAGGACUCCCUUAGGGAGAAGCACACGACACUCGUGAACAUCAUACCCGGACGAUAGCAUGUCCUAUCCGGAUGUGUUGUCCGGAUCAUUGACUAAAGUGAGCAAGCCUUGCUACGUCAUUCGGACAGCUUGCCACAUACCAUGUUCCGUCGCCAUCUGAUGGUGUGUCCGAACGCCUUGUCCGGACAUCUUUUGCUCCUUGCAUUCCGGAUUUGCUUAUGACAAAGGACUUCAAAGCUUCGGUUCUUCAUGUUUCUGAGCUUUCCAUUGCUUUGCCAUGGAUUCCAAAGAACUCUCCUUAAUCACGGAUUGCUUUGGUGAUCAAAAAGUUAUCAAAACACAAAAACUUAACAUAGUUUGAUUAGAAUUGAUUGCAAGGGUUCUUAAUAUGUUAAUUGGGUUAAAAGGUGAUAACUACUACUCAAAAGUGUUUAUAAGAAUUAAUUACAAGCUAUGAAAUAACACUUUUUGAGUAGUAAUCAGGAUACAUCCUAGUUUUUCAUGGAAUUGAUAGUGGGUUGUUGUGCAUGAAUGCCACCAUUUCAACUAUGCUGUUGUUAUUUUUAAAAAAAAUAUGGAUUAUGCGCGAGUGGCAAUUCUCCACUAUGGAAAGUGGAUUGCUCCUUCAACCCAUGCAUGGCUACGUAUUCCUAUGUCUUUCUACUUGUGUUUGAUCCUCCAAAAAAAAUUUCGGUUUAGUGCUAGUAGAUUUUAAGUGGUGGAUCCCCAUUUUUUGAAAAUGAAGUGGCAGCCUCCCAUUUCAAGACAAAAUGGUAGCCUGCCUUUAAUCUUUGGAGAAAAAUCUGUGCAUGACCUUUUUUUUUCCCAAAAAAUCCGUGCAUGGUGUCCUUUAAUAUUUGGAGAAAAAUCUAUGUUGGAUCUUUUCUUUUCUAGAAACAUUUGUGUGGUCUUUUUUGUUAGCCCAAGGGUUCUUCUAAUCAAGUUUUGAUGAUAACAAACCAUGGUUAAGUGACUAAUUGGUUUAAUGAUUAAGAAUCUCAAACAUAAAAUCGAAAAUUCAUCAAAGGACCAAAUGGAUACAAGAUCGAGACGCUUGGAAGACUUGUAAUCAUAGGAAACUAAUGUAAGAUGAAUGCAUGAGUGCACUUAGGAUUUUCACACGUUUCAUGCAACUUAGAAAACCCAGUUUAUUCUUUAAAACUUCAUCCCAGUUUAUUCUUUUUAUGGUUGUGUGUGCUUUCCUUGAUACGUGGCUUAUUUAUUAAGGAUACAUCCCAGUUUUUCAUGGAAUUGACAGUGGGUUGUUGUGUGUGAAUGCCACCAUUUCAACUGUGCUGUUGUUAUUUAAAAAAAAAAAAAAUGGAUUGUGCGCGAGUGGCAAUUCUCCACUAUGGAAAGUGGAUUGCUCCUUCAACCCAUGCAUGGCUACGUAUUCCUAUGUCUUUCUGCUUGUGUGUGAUCCUCCAAAAAAAAUUUUGGUUUAGUGCUAGUAGAUUUUAAGUGGUGGAUCCCCUUUUUUUGAAAACUAAGUGGCAGCCUCCCAUUUCAAAACGAAGUGGUAGCCUGCCUUUAGUCUUUGGAGAAAAAUCUGUGCAUGACUUUUUUUUUCCCAAAAAAUCCAUGCAUGGUGUCCUUUAAUAUUUGGAGAAAAAUCUAUGUGGGAUCUUUUAUUUUCUAGAAAAAUUUGUGUGGUCUUUUUUGUUAGCCCAAGGGUUCUCCUAAUCAGGUUUUGAUGAUAACAAAUCAUGGUUAAGUGACUAAUUGGUUUAAUGAUUAAGAAUCUCAAACAUAAACUCGAAAAUUCAUCAAAUGACCAAAUGGAUACAAGAUCGAGACGCUUGGAAGACUUGUGAUCAUAGGAAACUAAUGUAAGAUGAAUGCAUGAGUGCACUUAGGAUUUUCACACGUUUCAUGCAAUUUAGAAAACCCAGUUUAUUCUUUAAAACUUCAAUUUCAUUAAAACCCGAGUUUUUAACUAAUGUACCUUAGGCAAAAUGUUUUAUAAUUGGCUUAAUAAUUCACCUAAAUACAUUUUCUAAGUGUUAGAAAAGAAAGGAAUUAAAAAAAGGUUUUCGGGGCAAAAAAGGCUCAACCGGUCGAGGCUAUGGUCAACCGGCUCAACCGGUUGAGGAACCAAUCGAUCGGUUGUGCUUGUCCGAUCGAAGACCAAUCGAGGGAUGCCAAAAAAUUUCUCUCUCUCCUAGUGGCCUUCUCUUCCCGGUCGAGGUUCGGUCUAGGCAACGGUAACAUGUCAAGCAUUAAAUGCUCCGACGACUAGUGAAUCGGUCGACCCCUAGCCCGAUCGGACGAGGUUGCCUUUUGCUGUUUUUGACUCCCGAGCUUAGAAACCUAUAAAUUGAGAGCUCCACUUCAUUUAUUGAUAAAAGAGAACACUUGCAUUCAAUAGUCUACCUACCUUUUCUUGAUCAAAAAGCUCUCAUUUCCUUCAUAGUGCAUUAAAUCAUCACUUGCAUAUCCUUUAGUGCACUAUUGUGUGUCAUCCUAGCUUUGUUUUGUAUUUGAGCUAUCCUUAAGCUAGGUUGAGGGAUUAUUUCUUAUAAAAAUCUGAGUGUUAAAGCCUUCAAGAGAUUUGAAUCUUGAAGAGAUUGUGUAAGAGCCCAUUGGAGCCGGAGUCCAAGUGUAAGAAGAUUGGAAGCUUGGUUGAAGCUUCAAGUUAGUGGAACCCUCACUCGGUUAGGAGGUUGAGGAGAGUGGACGUAGGUAAGGAAGUGUCGAACCAUUAUAAACCCGAGUUUGAAUUCUCUAACUCUAUCUCUUUAUUUUGCUUAUAUUGUGUUUGAAUUUGUUGUGAUUGAAAAGAUUUUAAAAACCUAAUUCACCCUCCCCCCUUUUGGGUUUUUUUUUCUUAAUUAAGCAUAACCUUUGUUUUCUAAUUUUCUUUUUAGGAAAAUCCAUGCGUGGUAUGUCCAAACUCUCCAAGUGGCAGUCUGCCUUCUUCUAAAAAAUUUGUUUCUAUUUCUUUAUUCGACUACCUUCCAUGUCUUCCUAAUGAGUGCUUGUGCUCAAUGGUCAAUCCCUGGUGGUUGCCUCCUUUUCCCAUAUAUACGUGUUGCAAAAUCAACAUCCCACUAUAUGUGGGUUGCCUCUAUGGCAAGUUCACAUUUCCCACAUGAAACCUAUGAGUUUCCACCAAAAAUUGCCAUGAAAAAGUCUUUAUAUGCAUCUCAUGCAAUAAAAAGUCAAGCCAAUACUCAUCUUAUCUCGAAAAAUAAGUAACCAAAAUCAAGAUCAUGCCUAAGUGAACUAUGCCAAAAGAAGUGUCCAAGUGACCUAUUAUGAAAAAAGUGCCUAAGUGACCUAAGGUGAAUGUGUGUAAGCUGGAAGGUGUCUAGGAUGUUUAGGACAAUGCCUAAGCCUAAAAUAGGGUUGCCAAGGGUCACAAUGGGGUUAGAUAAAUCUCUCAAUCAGAGUCUCCAAGGUGGCUCAUAAAAGAUAAGCUACACGAGUAAUGAUGGGCCACCAGGGAAUUAUUGUAAAGCACCAAACGAACACAUAAUAGGACAUGUGUUAGAAUGAAAAAAUGGAGGGUUUACAAGUGGUCUCAUGGAUGAGCUUGAUAAUUUAAAUGACUCACAUAAUGAACGUAUGUGAUGUUUCUCUCCAAUAACAAGCAAAACAUCACUAGCAAUAUGAUGAAUGUCUCCUAAAUCACUUGAAGUAGUCCUAGCAAAUCAAUUAGAAAAAUCACACAUAUUGCUCUAAUGUAAUAUUAUAUACAUCUGUCAAUGAAUGGGAGAACUAAUGACACAACCAUCAUGUUGAUAUCUCGAACCCUCUAAUCUCAUAUGUAGGUGGGAUCACACUUAGAAACUCAUAACACAGUAAUGACCAAUCUAAGUCAAAAUGUGUUGGUGAUCGGAGGCCCAUGAAUAUGAAGUUCUAGGAUGAUAAUGACAUCUUAUAAAGUAAUGAUCAUCUCCUUAAUAGAUAGGUGAAAUGUGUGUGUCUUAGGACACCAUCUCUCAACAAGACUUGUGAUCAAUCCCCAGUCUAGUGUAACAUGCCUAUUAUGACAUCCAUCGUAAAAUCUAGACUAGAUAAUAUAAGGACAAAUGUGAGGGUUCAUCUCCCUUUCCCACAUAAAUUUAAAAAAUUAUUAUUGACAAGUUAAGACCAAACUAAGUUGCAAAAUAUAAAUAAGUCCAUUAGAUAACAAAUUUAUGUUUUCUCAUUUUCUCAUUUUUAAAGAGAUAUUAUGUGCUUCCAUGUACAUACAUGCUAAAGUCAAUUAUACGAGACUUAUAUCCAUCUUGUAGAACCAAAUCGAACCUAUCUAAUAGAUCCAGAUUAGAAGUAUGUCCUCUAUACUCCAUAUUUAUAACACAUUUAUAAAGAUAAAUGCUAAAAAAAUGUUAAAGAUAUAAAUUUAAUGAACCAUACUUUAUGAUUUUAAUUCUCAAUUAUUGUUCAUAUUUAUAAGAGAAAAGUUAAAAAAAUUGAUAGAGUUUUCCCUCUAUCAUGGACAUUAUCCCAAAUAAAAAUAAAUUGAUUAUGCAAAUUACAUUAAUAUUUGUAACCAAAUGAUCAAUAACUAUCUUGUAUCAAUUUAGUAAAUAAAUUUAAGUAUAUCUUUUCAUUUAUGACUAACAAAUAACUCAUACUUGUCCAAUAAAAGCCACACCUAAUUUCUAAAAUUUUGUCUUCACCUCAAGUGAGUGUUACAUUGAGAAAGAAAAAAUAUGAAAGAAAAAAUGAACACCUUUUUCUUUUAAUAAAAAAAGGCCAUAACGAAACAUUAAAUCUCACUGUUACACCUAUCUUCAAUGGAAACAUGAGGAUGUGAAUGGUGGCGGUGAUAUUCUUUGCUUGAAGCUCAUAAACAAAUAUUCCUUACUAAGCCUAUGCCAUUUAGUAUUUCAAUAGUGGACCCCCCCCCCCCCCCCCCCCCCCUCCUUGCAUUUCAGAUUUAGCAAACUUAGAACCAAAUAACAAAGUGCAUUUGAACCCAUAAAGAAGUAAUGAGACUCUCCUAUAUUGGCAAUAGAAGAAAUUUUUGGAGGUAUAGGAGAUUCACGGAUGAAGAAGUUGGGCCCCAAUUGAGAUAAGACCCAAGAAAAGAUGGGGUAGAGAGGGAUGGUUGGAAAUUGUAAAGUAAGAUUUUCAAAAUGUAGUUGAUGACUAAGAUUUUGACAAUUUAAAAAAGGUUUAAAAAUGUAGUUAGCAAUCGGGGUUUUGUAACAUUUAAAAAAUAAAAUAAAAUCUCAGGCCACAUGGUAGCCCAUGUGAUUCAGAAGCUUGAGAAUUAUUUUAUAAGAAGACUUAAUUUGUGAUUUUUUUAUAACUAUAUUAUUUUUUUUCUUAACACACGAAAAAAAUUAUGAAAUAAGACAAUUUUCCUAAGAAAGCAUGUAAGUGACUCUUGGUUAUUUUAUUUAACUUCUUCUAGUUUGGAGAGGAUUAAUACCUUUGCUUUUACUCACUUGCUUGGAUAUGUACACGUUGUUCAUGUCACUUUUCAUUUAAUUUUCUGAUUAAGGGAAUUGGAACCGUACGUAACUGUCUUUAUUCCCUCUGAAACUUGGACUUGGAGUUGGACUUUCAAUCUCAUCAGUCGUGUUUCCAUAAAAAAGAAGAUGGAUUAACCAAUUUUCCUAUGCCUACUAAUCAUACACAAAACUCCACUUCCAAAUAAAAAGGAAUGGGAUAUCACUUGUUAAUAGUGGCUAAAGACUAUUAAUAACCAUGCAAAGAAAUGUCACAUUUUUUGUUCUACGCAAAUUUUAUUCAUCAACUACUAGAACCAUUUCAUACAAUAGUAGCUUUUCGAUCCUUUGAUAAAUGGACACUUGAUGUGAUAACACCAACUACACCUAUAUAUUCAAGCAAUCAUGCGUAUAUAAUAGUGGAUAUGGAUUACUUCUCUAAAUGGGCAAAAGUUUUGUCAUUCAAGGAAAGUGAACGAGGAAACACAAGUUUACUUUCAUCGGAACUAAUAUUAUAUAUUGAUAUGACUUCCCAUUAUUACUUACGAUGGAAUAUGCUUCCAUAAAAUGGCCUAGAUGAACAAACUAUCCAAGAAGUUUGGGAUCAAAUAAUAUAUAUAUAGUUCAUGUGUGAUUCUUUGGUUGACAACCUUGUUAAGGGGUGAGUGAAGCACUUUGGGCAUACCACAUACUACAUGCUAGACUUCCACCCAAGCUACCCUAUAUUCCUUAUGAACAAAGUAGAAGUUGUCAUCUCUCUUGAAUACCAAAUCCUUUCACCUAAUAAUGCUAUCUAAAAAGGUCUUAAAAAGGAUAAAAAUGCGCAUAUUUGAAUUUUUGAAUUAGGAGUGCUACUUAAAAAGAAGCUAGAUAUACAAUAAUAGAAUGUUAUCAAGCAUAUCUCUUCAAAGUUUUUGACCAAAAAAUAUAUGAUUUCUCAUUUUAGGUAGGAGACUUAGUACUCACUAUUCAAAAACCAAUUAUCAUUACUCAUAAAAACUAAUAGAAAGUUUGGGCCAAAGUAGGAUGGACCUUAUAUUAUGCAACAAUUAUGCCUAUAAAAUUGUUGCAAAAGAGGUUUUAGAAUCAAAUCAAUGAAUGAAAAAUUAUUAAAGCAUUACUAUGCUUGAAGGCUAGUCAUUUUCCCUUAAAGUGCAAUAUUAAGUUGCAUAGUACUAUGUGGAUCCGCAUUUUUCACAUGCGUUCCCACUCAUUGUCGAGACUCACUUUUUAGAAGUGAAAAAUUAGUUUUAUUAAAGUCGAAGUUGCCACUGGGGAUUUGAACCCUAACAAAAGGUUCAAUUUAAGGAUAAAAAUAUCGAUAAUCACAUAUAUAUAUAUUGGUACUUUGAUUUUAUGAAUAUAUUGAAGAAAUAUGGACAAAUAUUUUGACACAAAAUAUGUACAAAAUAAAAAUUAUAUAAAAAGUAAAAAUAAAUAUUUUAAAAUUAUUUUUUUAAAUAUAUAUAUAUAUAAUUUGACAUAUUUGAUAAUAAUAUAUAAGGGUCUCCAAAAAGCCCGUGGCCCGCUUUAGGCCCGGUCCGACCCGACAGGCUAAAGCCCGGCCCAAGCCCGCCGGGCCCAAGCUCGGCCCGAGCCCGUUUAUGGGUGGGCCGGGCCGCGAGCCCGUAGGCCUGCUCCUUUAAAAAAAAACUACAAAAAUAAAAAGUAUUAAAAAAAAUAUUCAUUUCAAAAUUUUAUUCAUUGAAUGUAUAAUUACAUUUGAAAAUGUGGGAAAAGUUUACAUCACUACAAAAUAAAUACAUCCCAACUAGGUUGGCACCUAUUUAUUUGUCAAUCAUCUGUAUUUUUCAACCACAAAAAAUAAAAAUAAAAAUAUAAUAUACAUUUAGUCAUUAUUUUCUGGCGGUGAUGGCGAACUAUCAUGCAUCCAUGAAGAUCUUGAUAAUUUUAAAGAUUCCAUAUCGGUAAGCAUCUUUGUUUCUCGAAUGGAAUCAUACAUCCUUUUAUCUGCUAUUUCCCAAUCUUUCACACAUAUCCCUGCUUUAAUAACAUCUGACGCUAAGUUGCAUCGUUUUUUACUAACUACUCUUCCACCUGCACUAAAAGCAGCUUCUGAUGCAACUGUACUCACAGGAACUGUUAGUACAUCACGAGCAAUUAUAGAAAGCACAGGAUAUUUGUGUUGAUGUGAUUUCCACCAUAUUAAAAUAUUAAAAUCUUCUUGAUCUUCAAAUGAAAUUAUAUCAGUAUUAAGAUAUUUAUCUAAAUCAGAUGUAUUAUUUGGAGAAUUAUUUGUUGUCUUUUUUCGACUUUUCAACAUUUCUAGAGCUCCUUUAUAAAAAGAUGAGGAGUUUGUAGAUGUAGGUGGUAAUUUAAUAGUAUUAAUAUCAUUACCAUAUUUUUCUUUAUAAUAGUUAUAUAAAUUAUAUAAUAAUGAAUUUAUUUCAUUUUUAAUUUCUUCAAUUUUUAUUUGGUCAUUAAAAUAAAUAAUUGUUAACCAUUCAUCCAAAGCUUCAAAUUUCAAUCUAGGGUCCACAAUUAAAGCAAUAUAAAAAAUUAAAGGUAUUUCUCCCCAAUAUUUUCUAAAUUUUUAUAUCAUUACAAAUAUUGUAUCAUUAAAUAUUUCAAAACUUAAAUAUUUUUGAAGUACAAUAAAAAUAUUAGUUAUUUGCGUAAUAACUCGAUUUGAAGUUGGAUAAUAUACACCACAAAAAAUGUUUGUUGAAGUAUCAAAAAUUUCAAAAAGAUCUCUUAAAACAUCCGCAAUAUGCCAAUCAUAAUCAUUUAAUGCAUAAAUAUCUGCUUCAUAAUCAUUGUUAAUUAAUUGUAUUUCAUAUAAUUCGACUACUUUUCUAUAUUUUGUAAUAUUUUCUAAAAGUUUAUAUGUGGAAUUCCAUCUAAUAGCCAUAUCCAAAUUUAUAUUUUUUCUUUUCAUAUUUAACAUUUUGCAACAAUCAAAAAAUAAUUCAUGUUUUGCUUGAAAACUAUUAAUACUAUAUGCAAUGCCUCUAAUUUUUUUCCAAUGUACUAUCAACAUUUUUUAAUCCAUCCUUUACAAUUAAAUUUAAAAUAUGUGCACAACAACGCACAUGAAAUAUUUUAGCAUGAUCUUCUUUUACUUGCCAAUAUCGUUUUAGUCUAUGUAUUGCUGCAUCAUUAUUAGCAGCAUUAUCUAAUGUUAUUGUCAAUAUUUUAUCACGAAUGCCUAAAUCUAUAAUUUCAUCAUUUAUUAAAGAUGCUAUAUUUUUACCACUAUGUGGAGUAUUUAUUAAUUUAAAUAAAAUUAUUCUUUUAUUUAAUUUCCAUUCAUUAUCAAUGUAGUGAACAAUUAUAUAUAAAAAACCAGUAUGAGUUAAAGAUGUCCAAAUGUCAGAUGUUAAACGAAUAUUUCCUUCAAAAUUUGCAAAAUUUUUUUUUAAAAUUUCUUUUUGUGUAUAAAUUUUUUUCAUAAUAUCUCUUUUAACUGUAUUUCCAGAUCAACCUUUAAAUUGAGGAUUAAUACCUCGUUGAAUUGUUCUUGCAAAAUCAUGAGUUUCCAUCAUGUUGAAAGGUUGUUCUGCUCUUAUUAUAUAAUCAAUCAUUUCUUCACAACAGUUAGAUUCAUCAUAAGAAAAUGUUUUUAAAUUUCCACUUUCAUUUUUACUUAAUUGCAUAUAAUUUCUAAUAUCUACAUUAUUUUUAGUUUUACAAUUUUCAUGAUGUCUUUUUAAAUGACUUGUAUCUGCAUUUGAGCCACCAGUAAGAAAUUUAUUACAAAUUUUACAUUUUGCUUUUAUUUUUUUUUUAUUAUUUUCUAAAAUUAUUUCUAUUCUAUCAAAAAAAUUCCAUAUAUUUAAAGUAAAUUUUUUGUUUGAUGAUAUUUCAUCACAUGGACUAGACGAAGAAGCACUUGUCAUAUUAUAAUUAUUGAUAAAAUAUUAUGCCAAAAAUAAUAAAGUAAUAAAUAUAAAAAAAAAUGUAACAAAAAAAAUAAAGUAGUAGGGGUGAAGUAUGUUACUCAAUUAGAGAACCUAUGCAGAAAUUCCUAGCAAAUUUGAACUCUUGGAGCCACCAAUGCUUGUUUUGCACCAUCAACAAUAUUGUAUAAUUUGAGGGAAAAAUAAAAGAAUUUAAAAUAUUGUAGAAUGUGAGAGAAAUAGAGAGAAUUUGAUGAAAAAAUGAAAAGGAAGAAAAUGUAUUUAUAGGAAGGUUAAAAAUAAUAAUAAUAAUAAUAAUAAUAAUAAUAAUAAUAAUAAUAAUAAUAAUAAUAAUAAUAAUUGGCCAUGUGACCGUUGGAGGCUUAGCUCCAACGGUCACAUGGGCUGGAGCUAGGCUCCAACAGUCACAUGACCGUUGGAGCCUUUAAUUUUUUUUUUUAAAAUAAUAUACUUUAUUUUUAUAUAUAUAUAACUAACUCAAUUAAUAAACAUAAAAAGAAUAUAGUUCAGUUGGUUAGAACCUUGAAGUUUAAACAUGAGGGGAGGGGUUUGAAUCCCUCCCUCUCCCUUAGGGGCUUUUUUAAAAGCCAUUUUGGCUUAUUUCAAAAAGCCUGUCGGCCCGACCCGCCCUGCAGCCCGCGGGCCUAGCAUUUUAGCAUGGCCUGGUCUGUUGACUAGUCAAAUGGCUCAUAGGCUCGGCCCGAACUGGGCCGCGGGCCUCUUAUUUACGGACCGGCCCGACCCGGCCCGCCCGUUGGAGACCCUUGAUAAUAUCUUCUAUAUUAAGUUACAUUAUAGUUUAUUUUACAAUAUUAUUAUGAUAAUAUGUCUAAUUUUAAAAUAUAUUUAAUAUUAAAAUUAUGAUCUAUUUUAAUUUAAAUGUAUUCAAUGAUAUCAAAUAAAUAAUAAUAUAUGUAUAAUUCUUUUAUUAUUUAUAUUUAUUAUUUUUAAUAAAUAUAUAGAUUAUAUAAAAAAGACCGGAUAUAUCUUUUCAAAUUUUGUAUCGCUCUCCAAGGAUAUUAGAUGUAUGGGAAUUUGUAUUGCUAUCUACGGAUACGUUGAUAUAUGGGUGAUUUAUCAGGAUAAUUAGAAAUUCUAAUUAUGUAAGCAGGUACGGAGUUCUGUGUCGGUGCGAUCUUGUCGACAACAGCUCCAAAUUGUGCAUCUUGCUCAUAGAGAGUAGCGGAAUGCACCAAUCGUAGGCUCAGAGUACCACUGAGUCGUCUGGCAGAGACCCAACUGAAGGUGCCUGUGUUGUUCCUGAUCUGAUCAGGCUUCAAACUACAAGGUGGAAUACUGGUUCCCCUAUAUCAGAAGCUGGAGAUACCCACCCCAUAUGCUCGUCUGGAUGUGCUCCUACCCUUUGAAGCCUUCUUCCGAGUCAAGUCCGAAUUGAUAAGGCUAGUGAGUUCCCAACCAACUGUACUCAGCAUGCUGCCAGGUGGAGACCCUCCAUAUUUGAUGGCUUCCUAAUAUUAAAAUGCUGACCACUGGUCUUCAUGUUCCACAGGCUUAAUUGUGUCCUUUGCUGAAAGAAUGGAUAGUGAUCCAUUUUAACACAUGAUUCACGCCGUCUUUGCCAUUCUUCAUGGUCUAGCCCUUUUAUAUAUAUGCUUCCUGAACUGUUGCUAUUAAUAAAAUGUGGUAUCUAUCCCGUACACCUUCCUGAUGGCCAGCGAAUGCAGAAGCUACAGAAACGGUUCCAUCUUUUGCUUCCGCCACUUUGGCAUCCUCCAUGAUGAGAUCGAAGGUGAAUAAUCAUAUUCUGGGGAUUUAUGUCCUGGAUAUUCUCAGUAAUGCCCAAUUUCCUGGUGCCGGCCUCAUUUCCAUGGGAACUGAUGGAUAACUUAAGGCUUCUACCAUCUGCGUGGUUCGCUUCUAACACAGGAAACUUCACGGCUAAAAGCAAGAUACCAAGAACAUCAAGGCUGUGACAAAAAUUAGUAUUUUUAACUUGUAGGAAUUUGAAAGGCAACCAACCAUCUAGCUCUGUUCUUAAAGCUCCCAUAGGAGGAUCAGAGGCUGGAUUGCUCAAGAUGAACUCAUCCAUUGUUGCACUUAAAAAGAAUUGGCAUGAAUUGUGGCCGCUCUAAUAGGUUCCCUAAACCAUCAUCCAAGUGGGCUUGCGGAAGGUAGCGAGUUUAAAACACCUAGGGCGAUGAACAGUGGACUGUGAUGCUCACAAAAGAGAAAAGGAAGAAUUCAAUAAUUCCUAAGAAUCCAUUUGCCUGUCAUCCAAAUUUUUAUAUUCUCUUCAGUCUGACGCGUUAUGCCAUAUAUUAAAAAUAGCGGCUUCUUCCAAGCCGAGACAGACUGUGCAAAGUUCGCAAGGCCAAUCAUCACCAUAAUCUGAAGUUGGCCUCCUCAAUCGCAGCUUGUAUCCGAAUGCUCACUUCACGGGAUGGAUUGUAAUGAAAACUAAUCUCAGUCCCAGCUAUGGCAGCAUCCUCACUUGACAGCAUUUUCUGCAUAUUCUAGAACAAAGCAAUAAACCCUCAAAGGCUCCUUCGGAUCAGAGUUAGAAGACUGUCCCUCAGGAACGUGAACACUAUGGUGGUUCUGAUAAGCAGUGAUAUUGCAUUAGAGCCUUUUGGAACAAGAGGAUCUUUUCAGGUGGAAACUGUAAACUGCUUCAUGUUGGGCUGCAACCUUUUCUUCAAGCAAUACUUUCUUUCUGUAUCACGACUUAUGUUGCUUCCGGAGCCAUCCCGUGUGGACUGCCCUUCAGUGAAAGAAUAUGUGUGUUGACAUGUUGGAUUGUAAUCUUUGUUCCACUCUAAUGGCUUUUGGUCCUCCUCUUUCUCUUUAUGACAGAGAACCAUUUAGUGAUCCAUCUCUAUAUUGUAGCAUUGCUGGUGCUUUGCAAUACUACACUCUCACCAAGCAUAACAUCUAUUUUUCCGUGACCAAAGUAUGUCGGUUUAUGCAUGCGCAAACUCUUAUUCAUUGGCAAGUUGUCAAGCGUAUCUCAUGAUUUCCCAAAGCCACAAGUUCUUAUGGUCUUUCUGUUCAAGCUUACAAUGAUCUAUCUUUUCUUGGUUAUACUGAUGUCGAUUGGGCUAGUUGCCCUGAUAACAAGCACAAUACUAGUGGGUACAACACUUUUCCUGGUCCUAAUCUCAUUUCAUGGGCAUUUUCAAAGCAGAAGGUUGUGUCUCACUCCAAUAACGAAUCUGAAUAUAGGGGACUCACUAAUUAAUGUUGUUGCCAAGGUCACUUGGAUUGAAUCUGUCUUACGUGAGUUGCGUGUUUCUCUACCCCAACCACCAAUUUUGUUGUGUGACAACAUUAGUGCUACACACUUGGACAAACCAUGUUGAAAUACACUAUCAUUUUAUCCAUGAAAGGCUUAUGCAUCACACACUCAAAAUUCAAUACACCUCUUCUAUAGACCAACUAGUCAAUGCUAUGACCAAAGCUCUUCCUUCAUCUCACUUGUACAAUCUUCAGUGCAAGCUGAUUGUUCUUCCCAAACCACUCAACUUGAGGGGAGAUGUUAAGCCAAUUUAAUAAAUUGAUUUCUUUUGGUUAAUUUGUUAGAAUCAUUUUUAUUAGAGGUUUGUUUGUACAAUUACAUCCAUUUAUCAGGAGAGUACACGUGUACAACUCCUCUUUUAAUCUCACCAUUGUAUAUAUAUGAUACACGACCUUACUCAGAAUUGCAUAACAUUUCCUCUGCUCAUUCCUUUUCUUCUUUGAAUUUUCCCUUACCUCACUGAUUUUGAUUUAUACCUGGUGUUUUCACCUUUGGUCUCUACCUUUCUAGCCAGUUUUCUAAUUAAUCCGUAUAUGGUAUACCUGUCAACUAAUGAGGAGAAAGAGAAAAGGGGAUUGCUGUUCCACCAGCUACAUAUAAUAAUUAAUUACAAUCAUGGUAAUGGAUCCUGAAAUCCAUCCUUUGUGGAUUUUGUACGGAAUAUUGUUGUUAUGUAUGUGGGCUCACUUAGAUGUAUAUUGCUAGCCUGUCUGGGAAAUGUGAUUGCAGGUCCAGAUUAUGAUGUUGAUAUUAGUGGGAUAAGCAAGAGAUGCAGUUAACACGUAUGUGAUGGACUUGAGUAACUUUUCCAUUUCAGUCCAUUUUUUAAGAUUAUGCUUAGUCUUAUUACAAGGAAAGACCAUAAGAAUCAUGAGUCAUUGGCAAGGUAAUAUCAUUCCCUCUUUACAGGCUUCUUCACCUUUUGGUUUUUUUAAUAUCCAUCAAGAUCUUUUAAUUGGAGGACAAUUACAAGUAUAUAUAUAUGUAUUAAAAGGGGAAAAUAUUAAAACAGGAAAUUUUAGGGAAAAUAUAAUAAUUAUUUCUUCCUUCUUUCCCAUAUAGAACUACACAAAAUAAAACUUUAAUAAUUUUUUCUUAUCUUUUUUAUUAUUAUUUUUUCUUAGAAACAUCCGUGGUCUCACAAGCUUGUAAUCCUAGAUUGUUAGGCUCCUUUAACAGUGCCCCAACAUCGUGGUCCAAUGACAAGCUUCCACGCCUUAAAAUCAGAAAAUGCCAUUAAACUUUAUCAGACAUUACAGUUCAAGACAAAGCUUUCAUUUGCUUAAUGUGAUAAUGAAAUUGUUAAUUUCAUUUCGUGGGCAUCUAAAUUUGGACGAGCAAGACCUCUGAAUUCCCUGUUUUUAUCACCAGCAGAGGAGAUAAAAUCUUAAUGGUGAGAAUCUCCACGUGAAAUUUAUGUGUACUGUCAACAUAUUUUUGUUUAUAUAGUCCAGUAGCUGCAGGAAGUCUAGAUUAUAUAGGUAGCAGUAGCACUAUUUAUAGCACUCGAUAUUCGCUGUAUGAAUACAUUAAACCUUGUUUUCAAUACGCAUCACAAGCAAGUACUAGAUACUACAAGGAGUGACAGUCGCAUCAACAUUUCUUGAUAAUAGCAGUGACUGAUUUAUACACAGAACAGUACUGUACACGUACCAGUCACCAGAGAUAGGAUCUUAUUCCUACAUACGACUCUUAUUGAUCGAAGUCACUCAGUUGGGGUAGCCUGGAGUUGGAGGUUUGUGUGGUGGCUUCUUCUUUGGAGGAGGCUUUAUCUUUGGAGGCAUCAUCUUUGGAGGCAUCUUGUGUGAGUCUUCUUCAGCAUUCUCUACAGGAGGAUGGCCAGGCUUAUGACCCUUAGGUGGUUUGCCAACUGGGAUUGGUGGCUUGUGUCCUGAGAGUGGCUCCUCUUCUUCGGGAGGUUUGCCAACUGACGUUGGUGGCCCGUGUCCUGGGGGUGGCUUGUGUUUUGGGGGUGGUUUCACUCCACCGGGAGGUUUACCAAUUGGUGUUGGUGGUUUGUGCUCAAUCGGUGGCCUCUCAACUGGGGGGCGCUUGGGGUAAUCAGCGAGUGAAGAAGUGGUGAGAACCACCACUCCAAGCAACAACACUAGCAAGUAUGUGGAAGACAUCUUUGAGUUUGGCUCAGAUGGUGUAGAACUAGAAUCCUGGGUGGCCUUUUAUAUUAGUUGGGCCCUAUGCCCGAACGACAAGUGUCAUGGUGACACAUAAAGUGAUGGGGUCGAUUUGGGCCUACCGGAUUUGAAAACUUGGACAAUUCGAGAAGCGUCUCCUGACUCCGGGUUGUAAAGUGAAAGAUUAGGUAUCGACCAUUGAAGUAUGAUCACAACUUUUGGCCUUUGGCUCUCUCUACUGCCGUAUAGCUUUUUUCCUUUGGAUAUUUUUCUUAGCUAGACACAAUUAUUGAGCAGUCUAAUCUCGAAAUGGGAUUAGUAUAGCUUUAAGCAAAUUUAUUAUAGUUAGUGGAGGACUUUUAAGAGUGCAGACGACAUUUAACACAUGCAUGCAGUAGUAUAGGGGACAUAACACUAUUCUUUUUCCAAAGAUUCACAUGAUUUUUAUAUUAUAGUAUUGGCACAUUGUAUGUAGCUGGUUUUGUGGUUAAAAUUCCAUAUGUAGACACUGGCGUUUCUCCAUUUCUCACAAUUGAUGUUUACCUCCACGAUUACUAGAUUAGAUAUACCAAACAAUAACACAUUGUAUAAUCUAUCCGCCCUUCAAAAUCUACUGUAUGAUGAAAUGUUUCAUGUGUGUGUGAAGUGUUAGAAAUGCACUAUAGGCAACAUCAUCUUCUUUUGUCUAGGCUUGGGCCUCAAAUUAUACUCCCAUGCCAUGAUAAAUUUUCAUGUGCAUUCUCUAAAGAAGAGUGUCUUGAAUGUGCCAAAUCAUUUUGAUUGAUUUUAUGAUGUUAAUUGCUCCGCAUAUGGAUGGGUAUGUGCUUUAUUUGCUUAUUCAAUCCACAAUUACCUUGAACUGAAGUCCUAUUGGAGCUCUAUUAUUUUAGCAACGUCCUGUCAAAUAGGCUGCUAACUUGGGGUGGUAUGGACCCAAUGAUCCAUCUUAAUCUUGGGUUGAUUUUGUCUGACUCUAUCUAUCUCAGAGAGAACCAGGAUCACCAGUGCUGGUCUGCUUAAAGAAGACUCAGUACUGGAUUAAUAUUGGUUUGGGUCAAUAGCUUAUAAUGCAUUGAAUGCAGAAUAAACAAGAUCAAUGAAACCCAAAACACACUGCCCACACAACUUCACUCUGGUGUCUGUUAUUCAUCAAUUCUAUUCCCACAUGAACUGGUUCAAGUUUAAGAAAAUGACAACGGAUCCACUGUAUUAACUUGGUUUUGCUUGGUUUUGAGCUAGUUGCCAAACCAGCCAUGAGUUUUACCUCUAAUGUCAAUGAACAAACCCCAAAUGAACAACUGCAACAGCUUAAAGAGAAGGAAUGGAGAUGAAAAUCCCUGUUUCUUCUCAUUCUGGGGACAAAUUAGAACAUAACUACAAAGGUUCUAUUAAUUGACUUACUCUACCAUGAAUUAUGGUUCUUUGGUUUUCCAAAUUUAAAUUGUACAUGAGAUUAUUUUUUUCCUUUAUAUAUAAACAUAUUAAGGUUUUCUUAUUUCGUGGGCAAAUGCGCUAAGGAUGAAAGUCAUUUCAUUUGGCUGCAACAGCAUCUUAUAAUCAACAUGCAUAAGCAGCAGUUUUAAUUGAUCGAUUGAACACCGACUCACAAGAAUAGAUAGAAUGGUACAAGACAGCUCUUAUUAAUUUAUACUCGUUACUCAUUUUAUGUAGCCCCAUUAAGAUGGCUGGCUGGACCACCGAGGUCUGGGGGUGGUGUUGCUUGUGUGAUGCAGCGGGCCGGGCAGACACUUCUCUAGUUGCUUCUAUUUGGAGUUAGAGGAUCAGUCUCUGCCAACCUUGAGGACUCUCUACCUCAGAGGGUCCAGGUGGUGGACUCUGGUGUCGGUAGCUUUGAACUCUCAGUAGACUAGUGUGUCUUAAUCAGUCACUGCCAGAGGCUGGCGUAGGCAGUGACGAUAAGGUGAGACAAAUUACCGAAUAGUCAAUAUCGACUGCACUUGACCAUUAUAGAUUUGUUCUGACAAAAGUGAGAAAAGGGAGAAAAUCGGAUGUUGACCUUUAUAGAAAAAGAUAAGAUUUACUGCAACACAGAGCACUGAUUUGUUACUUGGAAACCAAGUUAUGCUAUUAGCUAGCCUCCAUUAGCAGCAGGGUACCUUGCUGCCUGAUCCUAAUCUGAGUUCCCAAGGUUUCAAUCUUCGUUUGUUAACGCUUCAGGAUUUGGAUAUUUCAGCUUCGUUUCUCCAUUUAGCCAACGCUGCCUGGUUUGGAUUUCAAUCCUCAUCUGGAACAUUCUUUUUUCGGUCUGAUUCAGGAAGUGUUUGGUGAUAGUUGAUUAAAAUUAAACAGUACUAUCAUACAAAUAAAGCUGAUCUAAUUUUGGUGGGCAAUAUACCAACUCAUUUAUUCUUGAAAACACCAUGGGGAAUUGGAGGUCCAUCCGAAGUACUAUUUGAUGGGACUCACAAAAAGAACAGGUGCACAUUUAUGAGAUCCGUGGAAGAGAUAACUAUGACAGCUAUGCAUGUACAACAGAUUUAUGUCGAGUUCACCUCGUAGAUAUUUUGUUUUCAGUGUCGGUGGACCCCAAAAUGGAAAUCGGAAAUUAAGGUUAUAUUUAUUUUUUUAUUUAAUUUUAAAUAGAAUUUUAAUUUUUAAUAAUAUUAAGUAUUAAAUUAUUUUUUUAAGGGUAUUUUAUUUUUAUUAAGUAUUAAAAAGUAAAAAAAAUUAAUAUGUUGCUUUUUUAUUUUAAAAAAAUUAUAUAUUUUAAUUUUUUCUAUUUACUAAAAAGUUUAUAAUAAAUUAUAAAAAAAUAAAAAAAUAAAAAACUUAAAUUCUGAAAAUAAAUUAUUUUUAAUAAAAAAAUCCAAAAAAGCAAACACCACCUAAAUUUGAGAUGACUCAAAAUUUUAUAUUUUUUUUCACCUAAAUUAUAUUCAUAAAUUUAAAAUUAAAAAAUUAGGAAGUUGAAUUUUAUUUUGGAUAAUUGGAAACUACAAGAAAUCAAUAAAAAUAUUUGGAAAAAAAAGAAAAAGAAAAACUAUCUAUAUAUUCACCCCCUUCUAAGAAACAUAACUUUAGUUUUUAACUAUUUUUUAAAAUAAUUUUUGAAAAAUGUUAUAUAAUAUUUUAUAAAACAAAAAAUCUGUUUGACAAUUUGAUAUGUCUUUAACUUAUUUUUAAUAUUUAUAUAUAUAUAUUUUAAAAAUAAUUUUAUAUUUAGAACUUUAUCUUUAAUUAUUAUAUAUAUUUAUAUAAUUAUUUUUUUUAAAACAACUCUUAAAAAAUAAGUGAAAGUAAUUGAAAACAACUCAAAGAUAUUUGAUGAAAACACUCUAAUUUGUAUUUUUGAGAAUAAAAAAAUAAAUAAAUAAAUUUCUAGUUAUCAAAUGUAUUUUUUAAUUCUUUUAUUCUAAAAAAUAGAAAAUCGUUUUUGAAAAUAAUUAUUAAACAACAUUCUUAAAAAUUCACUCGUUACAAUCUAGAUUUAAUGCAAGAAUGAUUGAAGGAGUCCUCCAAUAGAACCCAAAGUUAUAAACAUGAACAAGAAGCCCUAGAAACACCAAAGAUCUCAUAUGGUAUAUAUAUGAGCUUGAUUGAGAACUGUUUUAAAUUCAGUUUUUUUUUUUUUUUUUUUUUUUUGUUUUCAAAGUCAAAACAAGUUUACUUUUAAUUUUUACUUCUUUUUUUUAAUUUUAUAAAUAACAGUUUUUUAAUAAUUUAUUUUGAAAACAUGAUUAUUUUUAAAACUUAUAAUGAAAAUAGGAAUUUUUUUUUUAAUAUCAUGGUUAUUUUCCCUUCUUUUAAGGAGGGCUAUUUUAAAAAUAAAUUUACAAAUAUGAAAAAUGAUUCAAACUAAAGCAGUACAAAUAAAAAACAUUUUUAAGAAAUAUUUAAAAAUAGAGAAAAUUAUUUGAGAACAUUUGAAGUCCUUAAAUAGACUUUUGUUUUAGAAAAGGCAAGAUAAUUAUUUUUGAAAAUUGUUUUCAUAAUGAUAUGCAAAAACCUACGUAAAAACCAUAAUUAUAAUCGGCCACAUAUCAAAUCUACUAAAUAUGAAAAGUAAGUACAUAAUUAUAUUUGACUUAGAUGCAAGGAGGAAAAUGUCGCGAUAUUAUCGCCGAAAUAUCGUGUGUCGAAGGGUAUCGACACGAUUUUUCUUGCAGAAAUAUCGGCCAGUCGAUUUUUCGGGAUAAAUCUCGAGAAAUCGGCAAUUUAUCGCGAUAUAUCGGCGAUUUUUCCUCGAUAUAUCUUCUGGUCAACGCGGGUCAACGGAGUCAACACGCUACAGUGAAAGUCAAAUGUGCUACAAUGUCCCCGCUACAAUCACCUCCCCAAACAAAUUGCCAAAUUGCUUCCGAGGGGAUUUGAACCAGCCUUCUUGCCAUUUGGGCUAACUCGCCCUUAUGAUAUAUAUUGCAUUAAACAUAUAUAUACUUAAAGUCCUUAUAUAAAGAAAAUGUUAAAAAAAUAUUUUAAAGAGCAAAUUAAUUAUAAUUAUUUUAUAAUUAAAAGCAAAAUUUUCUUUUAAUUAAUUACCAAAAAUAUAAAAAUUAUAUAAUUUUCUUCAUAAUGUUUUUAAUAUCAUUAAUAAUUAAUUAAAUAUUAAAAAAUUAUAUAUAUAUAUAUAUAUAUAUAUAUAUAUAUUAUAAUUUAUUUUAUAUUGUUUAAUACAAUUGAAUUAAAUGGAUCAUAUUUUAAUAUUAAUAUAUAUUUUAAAAUUAGACAUAUUGUAAUCAAAUAUCAUAAUAUUAUAUGUAAUUUAAUAAUAAAUGUACACUUAUAAAAUUCAUAUUUUUAUCGAUGCAUACAAUAUUAUUAUCAAAUAUGAUAAAUCAUGUUAUACAUAUAUCAAAAUUUUCAAUAAAAUAACUUUAAAAUGUCUAUUAUACUUCUAAUUAUAUUAUUAUGAGGUUUUCUUUACAUUUUCAUGAGUUUUAAACAAUUUUAAGCACCAAUAUUUUUUUCCAAAAUAUCCACCGAUAUAUCUCCGAUAUAUCCAAUAUAUCUCCGAUAUCUCCGAUAUAUCCGUAAAAUCGAAGUACCGAUAUAUCCGUGAUUACCGAUAUUUUCAUCAUUGCUUAGAUGCAACCUUCUUCCAAAUGACAUACUUUAGUCAAUACUUAUAUUUUUUCGUUUCACUUCUUUGAUACAACACCUCAUGGAUUUAUUGUUUAAUUUAUUUGUAAUUAUAAAACUAUUUUUCAUUUUUAAUAAGACUUGAAUUAAUUUAAUAAAUAUUAUAUAAUUUGAAUUUAUAAUUCUUUUUAUAAAAUCAAAGUAUAUUAAAAAAAAAACAAUUUAUCCGAAGAAAGUUUUUUAUUUUUUAUUUUUUAAAACCGAUUUUAAAAAUAACUAGCUAGACACCCUUAUUUUGAUAAAAUACGAAAUAAAAGUGUAAAAACAACAUGGCCAAAUAGGGGCUUAAAUUUUAUUUUUAAAACAUUUUUUUACACUAAAGUGCAUUUUAAAAACACCAUCAAAACCAACUACAAGUUAUGCUUCUUCCCGUAAUAGAAAUAUUUUAGGCCAAAAUAGAACCUCCCCAAAUAAAGACCCUAUACUAAACUCCUUUUCAUUUUAUUAAUACAAAAGUGGGGAAAAAAGGUCUAUGCUCACCUAAAAAACAUGAAUAUUGUGAAUUCACCAUUUCUAUAAGGAAGUUGAAAACUUCAAAAUUUUAUCAACAAAUUCUCUAAAAUCCUCAAAAUAUAUAGGGCCUGUUUCACAAAGUUUUUUAAAAUUUGUUUUUAUAAAUUGCUUUUAAAAUAUAGAAUAAAUAACAGUUUUUUAGAUUUUUUGAAAAAUAAGAGUGUUUGGUAAGAUGUUUUUUUUUUUUUUUUUUUUUUUAAGAAUUAAAUAAAAAAUAAAAAAAUUGUUUAGAUAAAAGAAUUUGUAUUGUUUUUAAAAACAAUGUCUUACUUUUAUGUUAUAAAAAUUUUAUUAAUUUAAUUUAUAAUAAUAUGAAAUGAAAUUCAAGUUAAGUCUUAUUAAAAAAUACAAAUUAAAUCUAUAAUUAUGCAUGAGUUAAAGAUAAAUAUAUAUUUUUUAAAACUAUAAAAUAAAUUUUCUAUUAUAGUGAAACAAAAAUUACUAUAAAAUAAAAAUAAUUUUAAUAUUCAUUUUUAAUACAAGUCAAAUAAGUACUUUAAUUAAUUUUUUUUAUCAUGAUUUCUUAUGUUUUUUUUUUUUUCUAGAAAUUAUUUUAAGUAAUAUAACUAAUUUUUUUUUUAAUGUUUUAUAAAAAUAAGGAUAUUUGGCAAGUUGUUUUUAUAAAAGGAUUUUAAAAAUAAAUGGAUUUUUUUUUUUUUUAAAAAAAGAACAAAAUGAUUUGUUUGAAUAAAUUGUUUUGAUUUUGUAAAAACAUUUUAAAUUCAAUUUAUAUAAUAUUAAUUAAUUAAAUUAAAUUGAAGUUUUAUUGAAAAUAAAAAUAAUUUUGUAAUUAAAAUUAGAUUAAAAAAUAUAUAGGUUUUAAUAAAUCGUAAAUAGUAAUAUUAUAAUAAAAUUAUAAAUUAUAUUUUUAACAUAAAAUAUACUAUUUAUUACAUAUUAAAAAAAAUAUUUUAUUAUAUUAAUAAUUUUAUGGUAUUAAUGAGUUUAUUAUUUAAGUUUUAAAUUAUUUUUAAAAAUUAAUAAAUUUGUUAACAAAUGCAAUGUACUAAAUGUGGUUUAAUUUGGAGUUAAUUUGUUUAGGGAAAAAAAUAAAAAAUAAAAAUCUUAUGUAAAAGAGAAAUAAUAGAGUGUGUGUGUUUUUUUUUAUUAUUUUUAAAAAUCAGUAAAAAGAACUUUUACUUAUUGCCUAAAAAUUAUUCUCUAUUUUAUUUUAUUUUUUAAAUCUAGAAAUAGAUAACAAUAAUAAAAAAAAUUAAAAAAGAAAAAUGUUUUUUAAAACUCAGACUUAUAAUUGCUUUUGUUUCUCAUUCGCACCCCUGGAUUCCUGGAUUCUAAACACAAAAUUAAGUUGAAUCGUCCAUCUAUCUUGUAAGCCAAGAAUUCACAUAGAAGAAAUAAUCGGAAUUUGAUUUGAUAUCAGAUUUAGAGUGGCUCACUACUCAUGCAUUGUCCCACAAUAGUAAUGCUUUGGGCCGAGAUAAACCCAUUUGUGGGCCCAAAUAAAACCCCUGGUUUGAAAACAUCGAUUUUACAGUGGCCCAAAAGAUUAUCUAUGAGGGGAAGAUAACUUGGAAGUCAAGCAAACACAUUUAUCGCUAACUUUUCUCUAAUUAUAAAAUUAUAACUUGGUCUUCUACACGUCUCACUUAAGAGGCGGAGCCACUUGGCACUACCUUUCCAUAUUGUAAAAGGAGAAGAAGCAGAAGGAGAAGAUUCUUAUGCCAUUCCACACACCAUGGCUAGUACUGCUAUGCUGCUUGGCCCGCCGGCUCUCCGCCAUCCUAAUUCUCCCGCCGGCACUGUCUUUGAAGAUGGGGUCAUUCUAACGGAUUCCCUGAUCGUCCGCACCAGUAAUCUGGAGCUUUCUGAAAAACCGCCACUGGAAUCCCUGGCGUAGUGCUCUGUCAGUGGGGAUAUUGCUAUGGAUUGUUUGGAUUCCCAAGCCCACAAUCUUCAUCUUCCCGGGAAACCGCCGAUGGGCUUAACGGAAAACAAGUCUCCGACCUUUUUGUCUUCCGGGAACCCGUGCUUGGACUUCUUCUUCCAUGUGGUUCCCGAUACGUCGUCUGAUGAUCUGAUCCGACGGUUUGAGUUGGCUUGGGAAUUCAAUCCGCUGACGACGUUAAAACUGAUAUGCAACUUGAGAGAGGUGAGAGGCACCGGAAAAUCUGACAAAGAGGGUUUCUACACGGCGGUUCUCUGGCUCCACGACCACCAUCCCAAAACCCUAGCCUGCAAUGCUAGGGUGUUGGCCAGCUUCGGUUAUUUCAAGGAUUUUCUCGAGAUUCUCUACCGGCUUCUGGAGGGCCCUAAAAUUCGAAGAAUCGAAAAGAAAGACUGGCUGGAUCGAAAAGGAAGGAAGAAAAAUUCCCGGAAAAGGAACUCAAUAUUCAAGCGAGAAAAUAGGCCUGGAGUUGAAUUUCCUGUAGAAGAGAAGGAUGUGGAGUAUAUGGUGGAAGAAUUUGUGGAUAAAGAAAAGGCUAGGGUACUGAGAAAGGAGAGAGAACUUGCUCUUGCCAAAAGAGCCCUGCACAAGUAUUCUACUGAUUCUAAUUAUCAGUUCUUACAUGAUCAGAUUUCAGAUUUAUUUGCUGAACUUCUGAAAUCUGAUAUUCAGUAUUUAAACUCCGGUGAGCUUUACAAGAUUAGUCUCGCAUCCAAAUGGUGUCCCACAAUUGAUUCUUCUUAUGAUAAAUCCACCUUGAUAUGUGAAAAUAUUGCUCGAAAGGUUUAUUCUCGCGAGGAAUAUAUAUCCAGAAUACCAAGGAAUUGAGGAGGCUCACUAUGUUAAUAGAGUCAGGGAUAGGUUGAGAAAACAAGUACUUGUUCCAUUACGUAAGGCCCUGGAGUUGCCAGAGGUUUUCAUGUGUUCGAACCAGUGGGGAUCACUUCCCUACAACCGUGUGGCUUCAGUGGCCAUGAAAUCAUACAAGAGCCUCUUCUCAAAACAUGAUACAGAGCGGUUUGGUGUGUAUCUUGAGAAAGUGCAAACUGGGAAGGCUAAGAUUGCAGCUGGUGCAUUACUUCCCCAUGAGAUUAUAGCUUCAUUGAAUGAGGAGGAUGGCGAGAAAGUUGCAGAGCUUCAGUGGGCGAGAAUGGUGGAAGAUUUAUCAAAGAAUGGGAGGCUCACAAAUUGCAGUGCGGUAUGUGACGUAUCAGGAAGUAUGAGUGGAACUCCAAUGAAGGUGUGUGUGGCUCUGGGGCUGUUAGUUUCAGAGCUCAGUGAAGAUCCAUGGAAAGGUAAUGUAAUUACUUUCAGUGCAAGUCCUGAGCUUCACAAGAUCCAAGGAGACAGCCUUGUAUCCAAGACUGAAUUUGUGAGGAUGAUGGAAUGGGGUGCGAACACUGAUUUUCAGAAAGUUUUUGACAGAAUCUUACAAGUAGCAGUGGAGGGAAAUCUGAGUGAAGAUCAAAUGAUAAAGAGGGUUUUCGUUUUCACUGAUAUGGAGUUUGAUGAAGCUUGUGGGAGGUAUAACUAUUGUGAAUAUGACUAUGAUAUGGAGGAAAUUGAUGAGAGUCAGAAGGCAUCUCAGAAGUGGGAGACAGAUUAUGAAGUGAUACAGCGGAAAUUCCAGGACAAAGGAUAUGGAAAAGUUCCGGAGAUAGUGUUUUGGAACCUUAGAAACUCAUCAGAGACUCCAGUGAUGGCCACAGAGAACGGGGUGGCCUUAGUAAGCGGGUUUUCGAAGAAUCUGUUAGACCUUGUUUUUGGAAGGAGGUGGAAUUCUGACCCCUCAGGAUGUGAUGGAAUUAGCCAUCUCUGGUGAAGAUUACAAGAAACUUGUUCUAUUUGAUUAAGAUAUCAAGAGAUUUAUCAAUAAUAAUAUGUUUUUUUUUUUCUAUGUGAAAUACAUGUAAUAUUAACUAUGGAGUUAUCAAAGUUCUGGAAAUUUAAUUAUUUCUUCUUUUCAAGUUUUGUUUGUCUUUGUUAGGAAUUCCCCUUGGGCGGACCCAGCUGGGGACUUGGAUUGAGGAAGUAAGGAGGCGAAAUUGUGUUCUUCUAUGGACAGAGAAAAAAGAUAAAAAUAAAAAAUAAAAAAGGAGGUUAUUUGCAUUUGGAUGUCAUGUGGUUUCAGGGUACAACUACAAGUUCGAAAUUGUACAUAAUGUGAAAAUUCCUGUGUGGAGAACAGCAUAAAUAUGUAUCUCAGUGUGUUUUGUUUGAGCUAAUUGGCAAAUUCGCUUUAAACAUGGUCACAUGGAUGCAUAUUUAUUUGUGAAAUGAUAGUAGUCGAUUACUUGGUCAGUAAGGUUUGUAUCUCUAACUCCAACAUCUUAUUGUAGUCUUUUAAAAUGUCAAAAGUUUAAUGCUAGCUUGAGAAAUUUUGGAAUGGAGACAUUCUAAACAAAGUUAAUAAUCCAUGAGACUUGGUAAAACCGAUCAGAUGAUGCUUACGUACAUGAAUGCCUUCUUUAAGCCGUAUCCUAUUUUCAUUGAAUGAGACGUGCCAUCUAGUUUUGUUCUUGUCUUGAUUGGAUCAUGAUCCCGGGAAUUGAUUACUGUUCUGAAUUUGCGAAUGUUCAAGGUAUUAGAGAAAGUUAAUAUUAUCGUUAAUUUACAUAUUAGUAUUUAUCUAGUUAUUAUAUAUUAGUUUGAAUUAUAAUAUAAUAUAGAAUUUGAAUCAAGUUUACUAUUAGUUUGAAUUACAAUAGGAAAUAAAGUUUGAAUUAUAGUAUAACUCAAAUAUAUUUGUAUAUAAAUAUCCAUCUUUAUCAAUGAGAAUAGUAAACCAUAUUUUUCUCUAUCUUCUUCUUUCUCUAUAUAUAUGGUAUCAAAGCCUCCAAAUCCUAAACCUAGUCUCAACUUAGAGCAAAUUUAGGGUGCAGGGUUUAGGCCCCGCCUCCCCCAACCCUUACCACAAAUGGUAGUGACCUUGUUAUGCCUAUGUAUUGUCAAUGCCUCAUUUUCUAUGGUCUUCAAUACAAUAUCUAGUUUCAAUGUCUCUUUCCUUACUAUCUCCAAUGCAAUAUAUUGAUUUCAAUAUCUCUUUACAACCAAGAGCUCCAAAUUUUCCUGGUUCAAAUCUACCAUAAUUUUUAUUCUCCUUUGCUUUUUACCAAUAUUAGUUCCCCUAAUUUAAUAUAUAUCUCUUUAUUACCUUCAACUCUACCUCUCUCUUUCUUUAAAAGCUUCCUCAAAGAUUUGAUUGCUUUCUUGCAUGUUUUGGGAAAACAAACAUGCUCAUAUUCUAUUACCUCUACUUGAGAUCUGCCUUAUACUCUACCUUCUUCUUUACCUCCUAUAUCAUCUACUACAUUAGCUUCAAAAACAUUAUUUAGUUUGAUGCUAAAUAAGGCUCCUAAUCCUACCCUUCCUUCAACUAACUUUCUUUUACAAGUCCCUCAAAGUUUUUUUUUUUUUUUUUUUGGAAAUUUGGCUUAGAAAGAUUUCAUUACUCUUACCUAAUCUUUCAACCAUCAAGUCGAAUCCACUUAUCUCUUGAAUCCAAGGAGACUACCCUCCACAAAAACAAGGAGAUUGACCCCCACAAUAACAAAGAGAUUGUCCUCCAUAGAAACAAAGAGAGCUUCCUUCAUGGAAGCCGAAUACAUCGCAAUCUAUUUUCUUUCUCUCAAGAUCAAAUCUCCAAUCGGAGCUCCAUCUUGUGGGGAUAUAUUAGAAAAAGUUAAUAUUAUCCUUAAUUUACAUAUUAGUAUUUAUCUAUAUUAUAUAUUGAAUUAGAAUAGAAUAUAGAAUUUGAAUUAAGUUUACUAUUAGUUUAAAUUACAAUAGGAAAUAGAGUUUGAAUUAUAGUAGAACUCAAAUAUAUUUAUAUAUAAAUAUCCAUCAUUAUCAAUGAGAAUAGUAUUCCAUAUUUUUCUCUUUCCCUGAGGCUUCAGAAUGUGAUCUUGAACAUUUGAUCUUUUGGAUUCUUCUUGUUUCGGUGGUUUAAUAUAAUGGAAUGUUUAAUUAUAGCCUACUUUAUCACCAUGGAUGUGCUCCUGCAGAUUUCUUGAGGGUGAUGGUUAUUUUGUCAUGUUUCUUGAAUGGUUUGCAUCAGCUGCCUGAGCUGUUGUUGCUGGUCACUUUUGCAACCAGGGAAAGAAUCAUGGCUUUGGAGAAGCCAGCUUCUGUUUUUGUUGCCCAGCUGUUAGUUCACUAAGAUUGGGGGUCCUAACAUGUAUGUAUAAUCAUAAGCAAGGAAAUUUUAUGUCUUACGCUAGAUAGGUACCAUGAUAUGAUGUUUGAUUGAUUUAUUAACUCUACCUGUUUCAAAAGGCAUCAACAUUAAUUUUACCCUUUUAACACAUUGGAUUGUUUGACCUUACGAGAUUUUCUAUUUCUGUACUAUUUGAACUGCAAUCGUUAUGGUCCUUAGGUCUCUAAACCUUCGUUUAAAAUAAAAGUAAGGAGCACACAUAGUAAAAGUUAAUUUUGGGUAACUUUUAAAACAAAGAGAAAAGUAAAAGUUGUUUUUGAGAAAAACAUAUAGAAAUUGAAAGAUUUUUUAUUUUGAGAAAAAAAAGUCAUAGAAAAGAAAUAAUAUCCCCAUAUAAGUAGAUAUGAUCUAUCCGAAGUGUAGCUACUCUCCUGGAUUUAUUCUAACAUUUUAAAAUUUUUCUCAAUGGGCAAAGGAAUAUCAAAUCAAGCUUGAGUAGGAUUAAUUUCUUAAUUUUUAAAAUAACUUAUAAUUAAAAUUUUUUGGUGUUUUCUUUUUUGGACAAUUUUUUAUGAAGACUCUGAAUCAUGCAAGAGAUAUGGUUAUUUUAAAAAAAAAAAUAAUUUAAAACUCAAAUACAUAAUCAAUGUCACAAAUUUAUAAACAAAAGGUUUUUAAAAAAUACUAUUAUUUCCCCUCUACACAUAAUUUUACUUUUCCGAUUUAUUUAUUUUUGUUGGAAAACAGUCUUCAAAUCAAGUAAAAUUAAUAUGUUAAAUUUGUUAAACAAAUAAAUUUUAAAAUACAAUUUGGAACUCAAAAAUCAAUUCAAGUAAUGCUAAAAUUCAAAAAAUCAAAUUUGGAAUAAAAUGACUUUGUAAAUUUUUUUACUAAACAAAUGAAUUUUAAAUCAAGUGAGAUUUAAUACAUUGGAUUUUUAUGAGAAUAGUAAUUUUAAAAAUUAAUUUGGAACUCAAAAAUAGACACAAUAAAUACCAAAAAUCAAUGAACCAAAAUUGGUUUGGAAUAACUCCAUAAUUUUUUAUUUAUUUAUAUAUUUAUUUUUUUGUGCACACGAAUUUCUUACUAAGCAUAUUGCUUCCAAAUUGAGAAAAAUUUACUAUUUAGAUUUUUUUAAUGAGUUUAAUGGUAUUUAAAAAUAAUUCAAAAAUUCGAAAAUUGACUAAUUUAAUAUUAUAAAUUCAUAAACCAAGACUAAUUCAAAAUGCAUUGGGGGCUAAGGGGGUUGAAAUUAAUGCUCCAUUUGGUUGUGGCCACCAAUUGGCAAUGGCCACCAAUCAACCAAUCAAGGUGGCUAAGGGGGUUGAAAAUAGGGACAAUGGGGUGGGUUUGGGACAGGACACUCAUAUCCCAUUCCCAUCCCAAUUACACAGUUAUUUCCCAUCCUUAUUCCAAACUUGUGUUGGGGCAAGUUGAUUUGUUCCCAUCUUUGUUAACGAAAUGACUAAUAACCUCAUCCUCUCCUUGUCUUAGAUGUACAUUUUCUCAAAUUUGGUCAGGUAUGAUUGAUUCAAGCCCUAACCUUAAUUGGUAAUGAGUGGAUACCACACCUAAUUGCAUUCUUCUUUCGUUGCAAAAUAAUGAGAUUAUAAUAAUCUAGCAAAUAAGAAAAAAUAGUAUGGAAGUUCAAAUUAACACCAUAACUAUCAAUAAUUUUAAGCUUAUAGAUGACUUAAAUGAUUGAAAACUAAUGCAAAAUACUAAAAAAAAAAAAAAUCAUCUAAAGAAUUCACAAGAGAAUAGAACGAACAAAACCAAAUAGGAACAUGGGUCAACAUUAGUUACAGAUUUUGAUCCCUUUCAAGGCCAAUCUUUGAACCAAGACUUCAUCAAAUCUACUACUUCAAAGGCUUUUGUGUUCUUCUUGAGUUGUACUCUGGAACAAAGACUUCGAGGUGAUGCUUUAGAUGAUUGCAUUACACAUAUUUAGGGUAGGGAGAUUGGAGAAGCUUGAAGAUGCCAACGAUGGGUACAAUUGAGUGGUCAAUAAGAACAAUGUGGCCUAUGACUAGUUUGAUGUCAUGGUAUAGGAGUUUUGGGCAUUGAGGUGAAAGCAAGAGCAACAUGGAAUUGAUUUCAAAGUCUUUCAAUUAGUGUAAAGGAGGAAGAAGAAGUGGUAUUGAUCCUAGAAAUAGUGUUUUAGGUGUUGCAUUAGAGGAAAAGAAAAAGAAAAAGAAGGAACCAUUGGAAUUAGUACGAGUGUGAAGAGAGAAGUGUAUACAUAAGGGGAAGUAAAAGCAAAGUUCUAAAAAUUUAUUUUUUUAUUGGUGGUGUAUGGUUGCAUGAUUAUCCCUAUAAAUAAUAGGAGUUUUUUGGUGUUCUACUAGUAGUUGAAGGAUAAUUUCAUAAGAUAAUAUUUAGAGCGGGGUGGGGUGAGUUGUGACAAAAUCCAUACCCGUCCCAAACAUUGGUUCAGGUUUUUAAAAUAUUUUCAAACUUAUCAUAUACCCAAUUUUAUAUUUCAUACUUGUCCUAAUAGAGACAGGUUAGUCAGGGUUACUUGAGUAGCCUACAAAACUAUCAUCCCUAGUUGAAAUGCUCUUUUUGGCAGUGGCAGCUAGAAGCUCGAUCGAUUGACCUACAAGACUAGUUGUCAUCAUUUUAAAAAGAGUUUUGGCUUUGGUUGUGAGUGCAAUUGAAUCUAAACUAACAUUUCCUUAAUGCAUCUACUUCAAUCCUAAACUUCUUACUUAAGCCUCAAUUGUUGUUAAGAUUUUGGAAAACCCAUUUCCUUAAAUUGUAAAUUUAAGAAAAAAAAAAUUAAAAGUGAGACAUUUCUUGAUUGAAUGUUGUUAAAGGUCCCUUGGAAUUAAGACUUGGUUGAAGCCUUGGAAGAUUAGCAGAACUCUCAACUUAUGUUUGAACCUUGAGGAGAGUGGACGUAGGCCAAAAUUUUGUCAAACCAUUAUACAAAUUGAGUUUGAAUUCUCAUUUCUUGAUUUCUUAUUUAUUUGCUUUUUCUUAUUAUUACUUGAAUUGUCAUUUGCAUUCAUUAAUGUUAAAAUUGGUUAUAAUUAGCCAACACUAAUUCUCUUUCCCCUUCCCUUAAUUUCUUGGGUGUAAACCUAGGUUGGAUUAACUAGAUUUUAUCAAAUCUAUUAAGAUGGUAAAAGAAUAAUUAUUCUUAACAUACAUAAGAUCAUCUUCAAUCAAAUGACUCAUUGGCUGAUAUGUUGAAUUUGCUUAUUACUUGCAACUCAAAAUUGUGUUCUAGUUGAUAUGUCAAGUCCUGAGUGUAUGGACAUUAAAUUUGUAGUACGUGAUGAGUAUUUAGAUGGUCCAAUUCCAAGAAAGUGAUUGAAAACUAGUUCAAGAAAGGUGCAAAAGGGAAUUGUUUUGGUAUUUUCGUUUUUAUUCUUGAAGGUGGCAGAGCUAAAAUUUGAGAAAUCAAGCAAAACAUACUGAAAUUACAUUGAAAGAAAGAAAAUGGGAGUUAAUGUCUUGCAGUACAUGAUAAGGACUUCAUGCAUGUAGUGUGACCCAUGUCUUGGACUGAUGCCACACUCACGGUUACACUUAUACCCUUAGUUCUCUCUUUACUACCUUAGCUAACCUAGAUCAGGUUAUGAGAUAGGCACCUCACCACACCAUUACUUGCCCAUUAAUUAGUGACAUUUUCAAGCAAUGAGGUAACAUGGUGACACCAAGAGGGUAUAUUCCUCACCCCCAACAAGCCUAGACCUGGUCUAAAAAAAAUGGAGAAAAAUGACGUGUUGUUAUGCAGAAAUAUAGCAACCAUGCCUUCCUCAUUACUUAGAUUCAGAAUGUGAAGGUGAAAUUGAGAAACAGAAACUCUUGAAACCAAAAUGAAAAUUGAUACUUUUACGAAGAAUUACAACAACAUUAGAGGAAGACUACAUUCUUCCUCUUUAUUCCUACAUUUCUACACUACUUCUACUCCACUCCAUAUUUCUACAUACAUCUUUAAUCAGUCUUCCCUCCUUUAUAUAGAGCCAUCUUCACACAAAUUCCGCAAGGUAGAAAAGAGGAAUGAAACUUGGAGCAAGGUUCGACUACUGGCUGUAGCUUGUCAAGGCUGAAAGUGAACUUUUUUUCUUGGCUUUUCUGGGCAUAGGUAGUAACUUGUAGGUUCCUUUUUGGAAUGAAAAUGGUACGGCUAGAACAUGUGGCACUCUCUUGUUGGAUGAUGUGUCAAGCAUGUGGCAGCCAUCUAGUGGAGAUUAUGUCAAUUUUGGGAUGGAGAGUUGGCAUCCAAUUGCAAAGAAAUAUGACAUCUACCAACAUGCAAUGUCAACCUAUGUAGAUCAUAUGAAGAUAGAGAGGAAAAAUAUAGAAAUGGAUAUAUAACUAGAACUAGCUUUUUAUUAAAUGAGACGGAGAGCCAACAAUGAAGGAAAAUCAAAAUUUUUGGCUCAUAUCAAAGAAUUCACAUUGUGUUACCCUAGGUUUUCUUAAAACUUACUUUUAUGAUAAUAAAAAAUCAUUAUUGUUUAAUCCUUUGUUUUAAACGCAUGUUUAGCAGGUUGUAAAAUGUAAAUAUCUUUCGAAAUUCAAAUAUGAAGAUAUGACAUCAUUUCAAGCAAUAUAGUCUCUAGGAAUUAAUGUAAAGCUAAAUUAAGGUGCAAUUAAGUUAGUUCAAUGCAUUAUUUUAAGAAACUUGACCUAUCAAAACCUUGUCUUACUUCAAAGCCUCUUUUUCUUUUCUUCCAACUAACAUUUUAAUAAGUGAUCGCAAAAGUACAAAAUUAGAUGAAAUCCAUUUCAAUGGUUAAAAUGAUCAAAUUCAAACUUUUUCUAAGUAUCUUUUAAAAGCAUCAAUAUUGAAAGACAAUUUUAUAUUUAGUCAAAGCUUGGACAGAGCCAAAAAGCACACAAAAAUUUAUAUUUUCUAGCUCUCUACCUUGGAUGGUCUCUUGAUCCUACUUGGAGAUGUGCAUAAAUAAAAGGAUUUGAAAAUGACAAUUGACUAAGUAUGUAGUCAAUCAAUUACUCAUUGAUUGACUAGUUGAUCAAUUAACUUUGCAACAUCAUAUGCAAUCCUAAUAGCUAGUCAUCUAAUCAACUAGGUAGUAAAUCAAUAGGCCAAAAAUAUGUUUAUAAUGACUAUUUUGUACAAAAACCACUUAUAUAGUUAAAUAUAAUGCAUUUCAUUUAUAAAUCUUCUAAUUCUUGAAUAACAAUCCUAUCAUCCUUUGAAAGUUUUUAUUACACCUUUUCUACAUUUGUUCUAAAACUUAUACAUCACCCUUAAUUGUACCAUGAGAACCUAGCAUUUUUUUUUUUUUUUUUGUAUUUCAUCAAAGUUAGCUCUUGUACUCAUUGUUGUAUUAUUUUUAUUGUAACUUAGAGAGCGAGUGUUUUCAAGUGAGUGAAAUUGACUUGUAAAUAUUGUAAAGAUUCAUUGAUAUGUAUCUCAAACUAGGUGUACAAGUUGAAACAUUUGCUAGUAGAUUUUCUCAAGAUUUAGAAUGAGCUUAAGGCUAUCGAAUUAGGUGGGGUUGCGCCAAACCAUAUCACAUCGUUGUUUGCACCUUUUUUUUCACUCUCUUUUACUUAGUUGCUCUAUAUAUAUUGUCUAGCAAUAUCCUAAAGGCUUGAUGGGCUAGGGAGCAUCCCUCUGAAUGAAAAAUUUUCAUUCAAUUCUUAGUUGUAUUACGCAUAUAUAAAAUGCCUCAUUGUUUUAAUGGUAUUCAGUCGUGGCACCACAGAUAUGGACAUCUAAAUUUUAAAAGUUUGAAACUUUUAGCUAAAGAAAAUAUGGUGCUUUGCCUUUUUGGAAAGCAUGUUGAUGAAAUCCAUGAGAAUUGUAUACUUGGAGAGCAACAUCGAGAUAACUUUUUUUUUUUCUUUUUUUAUAAUGCAUUGUUUGUCCAAAUUCCGUACAAAUUAGGCCACCACAUGUUCAUAAUUCUCCCUUCUUGAAUUUGAAAACUCGGACAAUUUGACAAUGCGACACCUAAGUCCGGUUUUUAAAUGCUAAAGUGAAAGGGCAGGUAUGGACCAUUGAAAUGUGAUAACAACUUUUGGCCUUUUCCUUUUCUCUGUAGCCAUGUUGUCUCUUUUUAAUUUCUUUUGCAUGAUUUUCUUACCUAAACAGAAUCAUAGACUUGUUUAAUCUCUAAGUGGGAUUUCAUCCACCUUAAGCUACUGUAUUAUAUCUCGGUGGAGGACAACCGACAUAGAGCACAUGCAAGUGGGUAUAUGGGACAUGAAAUAUCUUCUUAUAAAGCUUGUUUUGCAGUUAAAUUAAUUGGAUAAGUAGACACUGGCGUUUCUAAAUUUCCCACCUAAGAUAAUGACCUUAUCCUUGACUGCUAGAUACACAAACAAUUAUACCUUCAAAAUCUACUGUGAAGUGCUUCAUGUAUGUGUGAAGUAUUAGAAAUUUCUUUCUUGGCAACUUGUUUUUUUCUUUGCGGUCUACUGAUAGGUUUGACUAAAAUUAUAUUCCCUGUCCUGCUAAUUAAUUUUCACGUGCAUGCUCAAAAGAAGAGUAUGACCUUAGUGCACCAAAAUCACUUUCAAUAAUUUGUGAUAAGUUUUUUUGCAUGACAUUAACCUUAUUCAUUUAGAUAAUGUUUAGUUCUCAUAAAUAUUAAGAAAAUGAAAAUAAAUAUUAAGAAAAAUAUUCUUAUAUUUGAUUGUAUUAUGAAAAAUAUCAUAAAAAAUCAAAUAUAAUUAAAAUUAAUUAAUAAUUUAUAUAUUUUAAAAUUAUUUAAUUUUUAUAUUAAAGAUAUAAUAUAAAUGAAAUGAGUUUUAAGUAUUAUAUAAAAAUGAUUUAUUUAUUUAUUUAUAUAUAUAUAUAUAUAUAUAUUUAGUUUUUCUCUUUAUUUUAUUUUCCUUAUGUUUUCCUCACAUUUUCCGGAAUCAAAGAUAGGGAAAUCCACAAUUACCUUCAACUGAGUAGAUUCUAUUGUUUUAGCAAUGUUAGGCUGCUAACUUGUGGUGGUACGAACCAAAUGAUCCAUGUUAAUCUUGGCUUGAUUUAAUUUGGCUCUAUCUCAGAGAACUCAAGGAUCACGUCAACUCUGGUUUCUACUAUUCAGGUCCAUUCCCAGAUGAACUGGUUCAAAUUUGAGAAAAUGGUAACAGACCUUUAGUGAUAUUGGUUUGGAGCCAGUUGCCAAACCUGCCCUGAGCUUUACCACUAAUGUCAAGGGACAAAGCCAUUUGAACAAAAACAAUAGCUUCAAGAGACUGAAUCGUGGAUGAAAUCUGAUCCACAUUUCUUCUCAUUUUGGGAAAAAAUGAGGACUUAACCACAAAGAUUCUACUGCCUCAUAGUGCUUUUCCUGAUCUAAGGUUGGCUCGUUUCCCAAAUUGUGAGGUGCACGUGCCACUCUCACGCUCAGGAGUGUAUCCACGUGGUGGACAUAAGAUGGUGGCUUAAUAUCUGGUGUCGGUGGCUUUACUUUACUAGGAGAGUAGUGUGUCUUCAUCUCAUUCACUGCCAGAGGGUGGCGUAAGCAGUGACGCUAAGGUGGGGCACAGUCAAUAUCAUUUGCAUUUGACCAUUAUAAUUUUCUCCCGGCUUUAAAGUAACCUUAUCGUGAUAAUGGAUUACUAGCACUAGUUCAGAUGACAGUCAUGUUAAAUUCGGACCAUGUUUGUGUCACAUUAUCAGCAACCAUGUGCUUGUGGUUCAUGCUAUCUGCAACUAAACUUGAUAUAUAACCAGGUGAACUUCAAUCUAAAUUCUGGAAGUACUCAUGUGAUAGAUGGUGCCUGUCUGCAGUGAGUGUAUCUAUAAGAGGGAAGGCUUGGCAAAUGUUCAGUUUUCUGGGAAUUCAACAGGGAUCUAAAAUAGAUUGUUUUCUUUGCUGAUUUCAAUGGUUGAAAUUUGAGAAGAUUGUGUCCACAUAACACAACUAUUACUGGUCCUUCUGUUGCAAUUUAUCCUCUAAGGCUCUAACAUGUCUUCCAAUUCCCACUUCCCACUUCCCUGUUACUCCAGGAAAGCUGUUUCUGUCAUUGUGAAGAAGAAAAGAGACUGUACAUAUCGAUGCUUUUAAGUGGACUGGAGAAUUCAUAUCAGGUGGUCUGCAGCCAUACAUGCCACUUUGUGAAGGUUGGAACAGUCAAUCACUAGGCUAUAUUAGUGGGGCCCAGCCACUUCAAUCAAGGACAAGUCUUCAUACUUAAAGUCAAAUUCUGCCUUUAGUCUCAUUAUAAAUUGCUGUUUAAAUAUCAAGCAAACAUUUGUUUAAUGCGAUUAAGACAGCACUAACUCAAUACUUGUUCUAUUUUUGGAUGCAAAUGCUUGAUAGUUUCAUCAUUGGAGGGGAUAAAGGUGCAUUCAUGAUUAUGAAUACUUGUAGUUAUAUUUUCAUUCUCUUUUUUCUCAAUGGGACUUGUUGGCACAAUUUUGCUGUUCAGAAACCUACCUCUCCAUGGAAAAUCAGUUGUGAUUGAUAUUACUGGAUAUAUUCAAGAAAGCUAAAUGUAGAUAGCACAAAAUAUUAUCGACAUAAAUAGCAUUAACAGCGUACGUAUGUCUCAAUGCUCAUCAGCUAUAAGCAAGGGGCAAACACUUACUAUGAGCAACUUACGUCAAAAUUCCGGAAUAGGACAUAGAAGUGACAGGUCAGUAAAUAUAGAACACUGCAUAUGAGUCACAAGAAAGGAAAUUACGGGUACAUAGCAGCUCUUAUUUUACAUCCUACUCAUACUGAUCAAAGUCACUCAGUUGGGAUGGGUGGGAGUGGGAGGUUUGUGGGGUGGCUUGUGCGGAGGAGUUGGCAGCUUCUUUCCAGGACCUGGUUGCUUCUCUGCUGGAGUUGAAGGAGGCUUAAUCUUCCGAGGUGGCUUGUAUGAGUCUUCAGCAUUCUCAGCAGGAGGGUGACCAGGGUUGUGACCACAAUGUGGUGGCUUCUCUCCCUUAGGUGGUUUGCCAACUGGGGUUGGUGGCUUGUGUUCCGGAAGUGGCUUCUCUUUGUGUUCAGGAGGUGGCUUCUCCACUGGAGGCUUGUGUUCAGGAGGUGGCUUCUCCACCGGAGGCUUGUGUUCAGGAGGUGGCUUCUCCACCGGAGGCUUGUGUUCAGGAGGUGGCUUCUCCACCGGAGGCUUAUGCUCUGGUGGUGGCUUCUCCACCGGAGGCUUAUGCUCUGGUGGUGGCUUCUCCACCGGAGGCUUAUGCAAUGGUGGUGGCUUCUCCACCGGAGGCUUGUGUUCAGGAGGUGGCUUCUCUACCGGAGGCUUAUGCUCUGGUG